RNAcentral lists this long non-coding RNA (69611 nucleotides) under Gossypium raimondii (Peruvian cotton). RNAcentral describes it as "long non-coding RNA (GRAI_LNC000205)". Lineage: Eukaryota; Viridiplantae; Streptophyta; Magnoliopsida; Malvales; Malvaceae. The record is from RNAcentral.
CAUUAUUGACUGAAGAUGAUAAAUGCAUAUCUUGGCUUAACAAACAAGCCCCCAAAUCUGUCAUCUAUGUGAGCUUUGGUAGCAUUGUCAACUUUGAUAAGGAAGAACUAAUUGAGAUAGCAUGGGGACUAUCCAACAGUAAACAACCCUUCCUGUGGGUGGUUAGGCCUGGUAUGGUUCGUGGCUCAGAAUGGAUUGAAUCAUUGCCAAAUGGGUUUGAGGAGAGUGUGGGAGAAAGAGGUUGCAUUGUGAAAUGGGCACCUCAAAAGGAAGUGUUGGCUCAUGCUGCAGUUGGUGGAUUUUGGACCCACUCUGGGUGGAAUUCAACCAUUGAGAGUAUUUGUGAAGGGGUACCAAUGCUAUGCAGACCUUUCUUUGGAGACCAACACUUGAACACAAGUUCCAUCUGUAAUGUUUGGAAAAUAGGCUUGGAAUUGCAGAAUCUCGAAAGAGGGAAUAUAGAAAGAACAAUAAAAAGACUACUGGUGGAUAUGGAAGGAAACGGUAUCCGAAAGAGAGCUAUAGAUCUGAAGGAGAAGGCUGCUUUUUAUCUAAUGGAAGAGGGUUCUACAAGCUGUUCUUUGAACAAGUUAAUAAAGCAUAUAUUAUCUGUUUAAGAAACAUGAAAUCAAACCUCCUUGUGGUUGUACUUUCAGUUUAUGUCAUGUCAUUGUAAUUUGUGUCUUUUUAGUAAGAUGGCAUGUAGAAAAAGCACAAACAUUUGAAGAAUAAACAUGGUACAAUACAUUUCUUUUAUAGUUGUUGUAUGUUUUACGGUUUGAAACUGGUGGAGGGGAGAGUGAUAUCAGAAUUAAACCUUUCUAACAGUAAUAACUUCAGUAUUUGAACUUCAUAAAUUCACUUUUUCAUCUUUCAACUAAUUUUUGGUUUUAUUAAACAUUUUACAUUAUUAACAAACAAAAACAUAAAACAGAUUUCAUUAUUUUAACAUAUUUAAGCCAACAGCUCAAAAUUGAUUCAAAGCUGUAAACCAGAAAUCUCAAUGGCUUUGACUUUAGGCUUCUUCACUUCCUUUUUAGGAAUAGUAACAGUAGGAAUCCUUUUUUUUUAAGGGUUGAUUCCCAAUUGUCCAAUUUAGAGUUUGGAUGUUUUUUGAAAAAGGACUCUCAAUUGUACAUAGACUUUAAUCUUGACUGUCGAUGUAACUCAAUUUGUAUCGUUGAUUUUGGGGAGAUAAACUAUAAAUAGAGGCCUCCCCUUCAUUUUUAUUCAAUCAUUCUUGAGUUAAGAAUAAAUGGAGAGUAUUUAUUCAAACAUUUGGUGUGCAUUUUUUUCUUGUGACUUUUCAACACUUUUGUUGUUAUUUCUAUUUCGAGAGCCAGGCUGACUUAAGUGCAUUUGAAGCGAAGAAAUUGUCCAAUGCCACACAUAUUACAAGGCUAAAGCUCUAACCUCGUGACACUUGUACCAAGAAAUACGCAUGAUAGAACUCGACAAGCUCAGGGUUCUCCCCCUUCAACAAUCAAUGAAUAAGCAAUAUAUAGUUAUUGAACAACCAAGGGCCACUCGAAAGCAUCUUUCGUAGAUCAAUGACAUGGUAAAACUGAAAUCCCCAAUAGGCAUUAUACUUGCCCCUAGAAGCGACCGCCCGAGAUAAAAGAGGUUUCUCUCUAUAGCGACAAAAUUAAUUGACCUCUCGCCGAGAAACUUACCAAUCAAACAAAAAUCGUAAUUGAUAUUCCUCCCCCAACGCUUCCUCCGACUCAACCACUAACGUCAAGUCCUCCUAAUCCUAUAAGACAUCCUCCUUUCGAGUCAUCAGCACACAAGACAAAAGAACUAAAACCUGUACUGUAGAAGCCCAAAUUUGUUGGCCCAGUAAAAAUAAAAACAAUGGCCCAAAUUACACUCAACAGGCCCAAAAAUAAAAAAUCCUAGCCCAGGAAACUAAAAAUUUUCAGCCAAACCCUAAGUCCCCUAGCGCCGCAAGCUUCCAUGCGUGGCCUCCUCGUCUGCCACACCUCCAACGCACGCCUCUGCCACUGCAUCUGACACCUCGGCCGCCUCUACCACUGCUACCUGCAAGGAAAGGUGAACACGCAACAACCAAGAAGCCAAGCACAAGCAGACAACAGAAACAAACAAAAAUAGUAGAAUAGAGAGUUGUUCAAAUCGGCUAUAAAGGCCUAGAUCAGAUCCUUGUAUUUUUUUCCGCACAUAAAUCAAUCAAAACUCAGAAAUCGAAUUCCAAAGGUUGAUUUUAGACUAUUCUCUCCAUUUUUCUUUUGAUAUUUUUUCUAUUUAUUUAUUUUCUCUUUUUUCUUAUUUUUCUUUCAAAUCCAUUUUAAAAUAAUUAACAAAAGGGAUAAAAAAAGGGGAAAAGGGAAUCAACUCACCUGAAUCGGCCCCCUGAGUCUGUCGUCGUCAUCGGCCCUUCGCCGUCGCCGGACGCGGGUAUAGGGAGGGGCCAAAGCUUUUCUUCUUCCCCGCGUUUCCCUGUUCCAUGGCCCCGAUCUCGGAAUGCGCUUCAACGCAAGGCUUGAAGGCGCCCUUGCAUGGCUCCGGCCACCAGGUAGAGGAGGCGUGACGGCGGUGGGGUUCCAAGGCUAGACCUGGAACCCUAGCAGAGAAAGGGGACUUGAAUUUUAAAUUUUUUUUGUGUUCUUUGACAGCAAAUGAAACAGCAGAAAAAAGCAAAAAUUUUUAGUUUUAUAGUAAUUAAAACGGAGCCGUUUGAAGGGGGUGACCUGCGCCUUUUUGCCCUAAUGGGUAAUUUGCGCAUUCUGUCCCUCCAUUUGGCGCUGAGGUGCAAUCUGACCUUUUUAUUAUUUUCGAUUUUGGCCACAUAAUUUGGCGCCUAUUCCAACCUAGUCCUGCACAAAACGAUGCGCAUAAGGGACGGGGAAUUUUCACAAUUGGUCUCUUGAUUUUGAGCACGUUUCAUUUCAAUCAUUGACAAUCCCUUUUUAUUUAUUUACAGUUUGGACCCCCGAAUUUUGGUUUGAUUUUAAUUUCAUCCUUUAGUUCAUUUAAUUAAUUUAUGUUUUUUAAAAGAAAAUGGGAGUUCCUCUAUUAUUUAUUUUAAGUUAUGUAUAUAUAUAUAUAUAUAUUAUUUACCUAAUAUCUUUCUUAUUAUUUGUAUUAUUUGAUUUAAGUCAUUAUAUAUACACAUACAUAUUUUUUAUUAAUUUAUAUACAUAUACAUACUUAUGUAUAUUUCUUAUUAUAUCAUAUAAUUUAUAUAUAUGUACAUAUUCUUUAUUUAUUAAAUAUAUUUUUUAUAUUUCAUAUUUUCUACAUACAUAUAUAUACUUAUAUAUUUACAUAAUUUAAUUCAUAUACCUAUACAUGUAUGUACAUACUUACAUUAUUUUAUUUUUAUAAUAUACAUAUUUAUAUCUUUUUUGUCUUUAUAUAAUAUAUAUACACACAUGCAUAUUUUCUUUAUAUAUAUGUAAUUAUGUUUCAUAUUUUAUAAUUCUUAUACAUAUACAUAUAUAUAUACGUAUAGACAUACAUAUUUUCAUUAUAUAUACAUACCUACAUAGUUUUUUGUAUUUUAAAUUUUUUAAAAUUCAUACAUACAUUUUUAAAAUUUUUAUAAUUUUAUUCAUUUCUUUAUUAUCAUUAUUAUUUUACUUUAUGUUUAUUUAUUUAUUUAUAUGUCCAUAUUAUUUUAAAAAAAUGUUUUAGUUUUUAUUUUGUUUAUUUACUUGUUAUUGUAUAUAAUUGAUUUGUUUUUUAUAUAUUUAUUUUGUUAUUUUUGCUCGUAUUAUUUUUACUCGCAUUAUCAUAAUUGUUAUUCCGUCACAUAUAAUUUUUACCCAAAUUCAUAAAAAAGAGAAAUUUUAAGAAUAAAGGCAAUACUCGGUAUUUAGGAUUUUCGAGAAUAUUGAGCCCUAACGUAUUAGGUUCCAAUUUUCUUCGUUAAAUCUAAAUAAUCGAGAAUGCUCUUUAAUAUAUAAAAAAAACAUAAAUAAAAAGUUCAUUAUCGCGAAUUCAAUACAUUGUGUCCUAACGCAUUGGAUAUGACACGUUUUCUCGAGACGAGGAUUUUUUUCAAAAAAAUAAUAAAGGCAAUAUUCCGUAUUUAGAAAUUUGAGAAGUCGUGCCCUAACUUACUGGGUUUCGAUUUUUCUCGCGUUAAAUCUAAAUAAGCAAAUAUCCUUUUAAAAUUGAAAUAAAUGAGGUUUAAAUAAAAAAUAAAAGGCAAGCUUACUCUAAAAAAUACGAGGUGUCGUGUCCUAACUUACUGAAUGUGACAUCUUGUUACUUCGAAAUAAUGGGACAUUUUUCAUUUUGAUUUAUUCGAGUAAUUUUAAAACAACACAAUAUAAAGAGGGAUCGUAUUUUUAAAUUCUUUUCGAGUUUUUAAUUUUCGACACUAAGACAUUAAGUAAUCAACUAGGUACCAAUUUUGGGCGUUACGAGGGUGCUAAUCCUUCCUCGUACGUAACCGACUCCCGAACCUAUUUCUUUGAUUUUCGCAGACCAAAUGCAUUGUUUUAAUAAAUUUAAAUCGUUUAUUAAAAACAACCGUUUUACGAGGUGACCCGAUCACACCUCAGCAAAAAAGAUUGGUGGCAAUUCUUAUUUUCGUUUUUAUUUUUAAAAUCCAAGUCGACCCCGUUUAAUCAAAAAUGGUGUCAACAGCUUGACGACUCCGCUGGGGACGCAAAAUAAGAGAGUCAAGCCAUGUGUUGAUUAUUUCUUGUCUUUUUUUCGAAAGUUGAAAAUUCGAUUUAAAUUUAUGAUCCUCUCAUUGCAUUUCAUCUGUUUUGAGUUAUAGUUUUCAUCAUGUUUUGUAGUUUAAUUCUUUAUAUCUGUACACAUUGCAUUGCAUGACCGUGAGUCACACCCUUUUAAGUGGGAGUGAGAAACUAGUCCUUCGUGAGGUUUUCACCUCCGUGUAGGAUAGUGGAUCGCUUCCGGGAUACAUAUGUACCUAUGUCUUCGUGAGAUUUUCAUCUCCGUGUAGCCAUAGGGAAAUGUAUUCCCCUGAACUAAACUCGAUCCAUAUGAGCCUAUAAUGAGUGAGGAUCGAGUAAUCUGCUGGUUCGGGUACCUUUGCUUUAGAGCCGAACCGCAUGUAGAAGACUUUAAGAACCUACCCUAGGUAGAACCACGCCAAACCCUAGUGGUCACCCGAAUAGAUGCUCUAUUUGUUUCUUUCUUACUUACGUUUGCUUUGUACUAGCCCGUUUCGUUUUGUUUCGGUUAUGAUUGCAUUGCAUUAUAUUGCAUUUUUCAUCAAAUAGAAAAGAUGUGCUGAUUCACGUUCAAGUAUCUAAGUAGAGAGCUUGUCAUAAGAAAAUGAGUUUCUUGAUAAAAUGGAAGACAAUGCGGUCGUCCGAAUAUGGUCCGAGAAAACAUAACGAGGGAAGGGUGAUAGUCUAGUGAAUGAGUACAUGACUUUGCCUCGUUGCCCGAAGUCUCAAGCUAACAAAGACUAUUCGAGAGCAGCCAAUGUUCCAACUCUCUUAUGGGAGCCAACGAGCAUCACGAGAAUAAGUGAACAAUGGGUCGCAGCUCGGAUCAAGUAAAAAGAAGAUAGAGGAGGUGCCCUUUGAAGAGUUUUCGAGAUUCAAUCUUACAUACGUAUUUGAAGAAAAGGAUUGAUGUCUUUACUUCGAGUAUUAGGACAAUGUCGUAUAUGUAAAUAUCCGUUAUAUGUAAAAAGAUUUAUUUUCUAGAAAAGUUUUUCUAAUAGAAUUGAAUCAAGAUCAACGCCUCUUUUUGCAUUCAUGCAUCUGCAUUACAUUUCAUUGCAAGCAUCUUUUCAUUCAUUAACAUUAAAUUUCAUUGCAUACAAUAAAUUUUCUAAAAUCCAAAAGUGCAUUGAGUUUAGAACUCUAGUACAGAGCCAGAUAGAUGAUGAAGAUUUGGAAUUCUCUGAAGAUAUCGAUGGUAUGGAAAGGAAAUAUGUUUGUGCCUUUGAAGAAGGAACUAAAAAACUAAAAAACCUAUCAGGAAUUUGUUUCUACAUCCCUAAAGGUGUUCUAAACAACUGGACUGUGGAGGAGAUUCUUGUAAUUUUUAGGACCAUUUCAGAGUAAUAUUUGGAACGCUCUUAUUGCUCUAAGCCAGGGAGCAAUAGAAAAUCCUUUUGUGAAAAAGACACAUGUCCACUAUUUUUUAUUUCAAUGAAAUGCAUCUUUGUGUCUGGUUUUGGCAAACAUUCUUUUGUUCCUUCCAUUUCAUUCAUACUCAUACCACACAGAUAAUUACCCUUUGAUUCAUUUGUUCUUUGAGUCUUCUUUCGUUCCUAUAACAGGUCUCUAGAUAUCAAUGAUAUGAGCGACACUGCUAUUGACUUAGAAUCUCCUUUUGAGCAAGAUAUGUGUCCAGAGGUACCUCAGGACUUUGAAGACGACCGAGACUGUGGUUUAUCUCUUGAUUUGUUAAGGAUGGUAGAAAAAGUCAAAACAGAUCCUACCUUACAAAAAAAAUCAACGAAGAUUGUGGGCUCAGGAGAAAAGAAAGAGGUGAAGAUCAGAGCAUGUAUCACCGCAGAGACAAAACGAGACGUCAUUAAAUUCAAAAAUGUUUUCGCAUGAUCGUCCCAAGAUAUGCCUGAGCUAUUAAGACGUGUGGACGCUGUUGAGGCUAAGAAAAUCUUAGAAGAGGUCCAUAAGGGUGUCUGAGGAACACAUGCUAAUGCUUUUGCAAUGGCCAAGCAAAUCAUGAGAUUUGGGUACUGCUAGUGCACAAUGGAAAGGGAUUGCAUCGGUUAUACCAAAAAACGCCACAAGUGCCAAAUUUACGGAGACAAGAUUUAUGUGCCUCCUUUUCUCUUCAUGUUAUGACUUUUCCAUAGACUUUCUCUAUGAGGGGCAUGGAUGUCAUUGGGCCGACCUCGCCAAGAGCUUCUAGCGAUUAUCGAUUCAUCUUUGUGGUCGUCGAUUACUUCAUAAAGUGGGUAGAUAUUGUUUCAUAUGCCAAUAUCACAAAGUUGACAAUCAGCAAUUUUCUUGAAGAAUCAUAUGUCAAUAUGAAAUGCCAAAAAGGAUCAUAUUAGACAAUGUAUUGAAUUUGAACAACCGCACGACAUCAGAAGUUUGCAGUCUAUUCAAGAUUAACAGCAUGUCGCCCCAAAAUGAACGGUUAAGUGGAAAAAAAAACCAAAAACACAAAAACAAAAAAUAAAAGAGACAAAAAAAAAUAAAAAAACCUCUACCGGGGCACCUCAUUUCUCAUUGGUAUAUGGAAUAGAGGCAGUCUUACCCAUCGAAGGUGAUAUUUCUUCCCUUCGAGUCUUGUCAGAGUUGAAGUUGGAUGAAACAGAAUGGAUCCAAGCCGAUAUGAUCAAUUAAAUUUGAUCGAAGAGUAAGGGUUGAAAGCUAUCCGUCAUGGUCAAAUGUACCAAAAGCGAAUGAUACGAGUUAACCAAAAAAGGUUUGCUUCAGAGAAUUCCAUGAGGGGGACCUGAUAUCGAACAAGAUCCUUCCCAUACAAAAGGACUUCAGAAGAAAAUGGAUGUCAAACUAGAAAGGACCUUAUGUGGAAGGCCUUAUCUGAAGAAGCGUCGAUAUUGACCAAGAUGGAUGGCAAGAACUUGCCUAAUCUUGAGAUUUCUGAUUCAAGCAAUAAACACUUCACUUGAAAAAAAACAAACGAAAAAAAAGGAAAAGAAAAAAAAGAAAAAUGAGAGGCCAAUGUGAAAACCCGCAAAGGGCGCCUUGAGACCAAAGGGGUUUUGAAUUGAAAACCCAGUAAUGGACAGUUCAAAUUUUUAUCAAAGGUGGGGCAUGCGGUAGUCUUGUCCUCUCUGAAUUAAUAAGAAGGAGAGAUGCUACAUCUUGGGACAUCAACAAAGUCUUCUAAGACUUCUAAACACAUAUCAAGUUCAAAAGGGUCCUCAAGAAGUUUGGGGCAGAGAAGCUCAUACUACGAUAUCUGGGGCACCUAUUUCCAUUUUAUUCAUUUUUUGUAUUUUUAACAAAAUACGCCAUCUUGAUUAAUUUAUUCUCAUUUGUGUUCUAGCAAAAUUUUCUAUCUUGAUUGAUUCAUUCAUUUCGAGCUGUGUUCUCAACAAAAUUUCAUAUUGUCCAUUUUGAUAAUCUUUUUCAAGCAUUUUUCAUUGAAAUAACGAUUACUGGACUGAUAAUAUUCAAGCAGAAGGAGUUCUGCAUAUUACUCUAAAAGCUUCUAAAUAGUACGAUGACUUGAAACAGGGCUAUUGUUUAGAAUUAACUAACUUAAGGGUUAGAAGCAUUGGAGAAAGAAUAGUCUAAAUUGCGAUUAUUUCUUUGGUUUUUCUGUCAAAGAUACCAGCUGAACAAGAGGGCAUGGUAACACGUCAGUGAUAAAACCUUGAUGAAUAGCGAGUAAUGACAACCUAAGCAUUAAAAAAGGGAUCAUUCUCAUGAAAUUCUACACUCAUACGAAUAUCAUUCAUACAUAUCUAGUUAGGAGCAUUUGAUUCAUUCUAAUCAUGACAUCCUAAACACUAGGCAUAAAUUGGUCCAUGAAAUGGAUUUUAUAGAUCAUGUUCCCCAGAGAAUAGAUCAAUGGAAUUACGCAUACCCCUGAGGUUGCAAUUAAAAAGAUUGAAGCCACAAUGGCGAAUCUUCCUUCCCUGAUAUUGCAAUUUAGCAGAUUAAAGCUACGACAGCAAAUCUUGCUUCCCUGGCAUUGCAAUUAAAAAGAUUGUAGCCACAACGGCGAAUCUUACUUCCCUGGCAAUGCAGUGGAUCAGAUUGAAGCUACAACGGUGAAUCUUGUUCCUCAACAUUGCAAUUAAAAAGAUUGAAGCCACCACGACGAAUCCCAUUUCCCUGGCAGUACAGUAGAGCAGAUUAAAGCAACGACGGUGAAUCUUGCUUCCCUGAUAUUGCAAUUUAGUAGAUUAAAGCUACGAUGGUGAAUCUUGCUUCCCUAACAUUGCAAUUAAAAAGAUUGAAGCCGCAACGGCGAAUCUUACUUCUCUGGCGAUGCAGUGGAUCAGAUUGAAGCUACAAUGGUGAAUCUUGUUCCCCGACAUUGCAAUUAAAAAUAUUGAAGCCACAACGGCAAAUCUCACUUCCCUAGCAGUACAGUAGAGCAGAUUAAAGCUACGACAGCGAAUCUUGUUUCCCUGAUAUUGCAAUUUAAAAUAUUGAAGCCGCAACGACGAAUCUUACUUCAUUGGCAGUGCAGUGGAACAGAUUGAAGCUACAACGACGAAUCUUGUUCCCCGACAUUGCAAUUAAAAAGAUUGAAGCCACGACGGCGAAUCUUACUUCCCUAGCGGUGCAGUGGAGCAGAUUAAAGCUACGACGGUGAAUCUUGCUUCCCUGACAUUGCAUUUAAAAGAUUGAAGCCGCAACGGCGAAUCUUACUUCCUUGGCGGUGCAGUGGAGCAGAUUAAAGCUACGACAGCGAAUCUUGCUUCCCCGACAUUGCAAUUAAAAAGAUUGAAGCCGCAACGACGAAUCUUACUUCCCUUGCAGUGCUGUGGAACAGAUUGAAGCUACAACGGUGAAUCUGGUUCCCCGGUAUUACAGUUUAAAAAGAUUGAAGCUAUACUCACAGAUCUUAUCUCUCUGAAGUUGCAGUAGAGCAGAUCGCAUCAAGUCUUAUCUCCCUAAGCAGUAGUGGAGCAGACGAAAGAAACCAAUCCUAUCUCCCUAAAGUUGCAGUGGAGCGGAUUAAAACCACAUAUCUUAUCUCUCUGAAGUUGCAGUAGAGCAGAUCGCAUCAAGUCUUAUCUCCCUAAACAGUAGUGGAGCAGACGAAAGAAACCAAUCCUAUCUCCCUGAAGUUGCAGGUGGAGCGGAUUAAAACCACAGAUUUUAUCUCUCUGAAGUUACAGUAGAGCAGAUCGCAUCAAGUCUUAUCUCCCUAAGCAGUAGUGGAGCAGACGAAUGAAACCAAUCCUAUCUCCCUGAAGUUGCAGUGGAGCAGAUUAAAACCACAGAUCUUAUCUCUCUGAAGUUGUAGUAGAGUAGAUCGCAUCCAGUCUUAUCUCCCUGAAGUUGCAGUGGAGCAGACAAAAGAAACCAAUCCUAUCUCCCUGAAGUUGCAGUGGAGCAGAUUAAAAAACCAGAUCUUAUCUCUUUGAAGUUACAGUAGAGCAGAUCACAUCCAAUCUUAUCUCCCUGAAGUUGCAGUGGAGCAGCAAAAAAAAUCCUAUCUCCUUGAAGUUACAGUGUAGCGGAUUAAAAUAAUGAAUCUUAUACCUCUAAAGUUGCAGUAGGUCGAAUUAAAUCUUAUUAUAUCAAACCUUAUCUCCCUGAAGUUGCAGUAGAGCAGAUUGAAGAUUCAAGUCUUAUCUCCCUGAAGUUGCAGUGGAGCAGACUAAAGAUACCAAUCUCAUCCCCAUGGAGUUACAGCAGAGUAGAUUGAAGCUACAAGUCGUAUCUGAAGUUGCAGUAGAGUGGAUCGAAGCAACAAGGCACAAUGGAUUGGAAAAAGGCUACUUGAAGAAGAGAAACACCCAAGAAAGUCAAGCCUCGGCGAGACUAGGCAAAUUUGGUCCUUCUUAGUCUUUACUCUGUUCUCGUUACACCAAAAUGAGCAAAGAGGGGCAGCUGUAGAAGCCCAAAUUUGCUGGCCCAGUAAAAAUAAAAACAAUGGCCCAAAUUAUACUCAACAGGCCCAAAAAUAAAAAACCCUAGCCCAGGAAACUAAAAAUUUUUAGCCAAACCCUAAGUCUCCUAGCGUCGCAAGCUUCCAUGCGUGGCCUCCUCGUCUGCCACACCUCCAACGCACGCCUCUGCCACUGCGUCUGAUACCUCGGCCGCCUUUACCACUGCUACCUGCAAGGAAAGGUGACCACGCAACAACCAAGAAGCCAAGCACAAGCAGACAACAGAAACAAGCAAAAAUAGUAGAAUAGAGAGUUGUUCAAAUCGACUAUAAAGGCCUAGAUCAGAUCCUUGUAUUUUUUUUACGCACAUAAGUCAAUCAAAACUCAGAAACCGAAUUCCAAAGGUUGAUUUUAGACUAUUCUCUCCAUUUUUCUUUUUGAUAUUUUUUCUAUUUAUUUAUUUUCUCUUUUUUCUUAUUUUUCUUUCAAAUCCAUUUUAAAAUAAUUAACAAAAGGGAUAAAAAAGGGGAAAAGGGAAUCAACUCACCUGAAUCGGCCCUCUGAGUCCGUCGUCGUCAUCGGCCCUUCGCCAUCGCCGGACGCGGGUAUAGGGAGGGGCCAAAGCUUUUCUUCUUCCCCUCGUUUCCCUGUUCCAUUGCCCCGAUCUCGGAAUGCGCUUCAACUCAAGGCUUGAAGGCACCCUUGCAUGGCUCCGGCCACCGGGCAGGGGAGGCGUGACGGCGGUGGGGUUCCAAGGCUAGACCUGGAACCCUAGCAGAGAAAGGGGACUUGCAUUUUAAUUUUUUUUGUGUUCUUUGACAACAAAGGAAACAGCAGAAAAAAGCAAAAAAAAUUAGUUUUAUAGUAAUUAAAACAGUGCCGUUUGAGGGGGGUAACCUGCGCCUCUUUUCCCUAAUGGGUAAUUUGCGCAUUCGGUCCCUCCAUCUGGCGCUGAGGUGCAAUCUGACCUUUUUAUUAUUUUCGAUUUUGGCCACAUAAUUCGGGGCCUAUUCCAACCUAGUCCUGCGCAAAACGAUGCGCGUAAGGGGCGGGGAAUUUUCACAAUCAGUCCCUUGAUUUUGAGCACGUUCCAUUUCAGUCAUCGGCAAUCCCUUUUUAUUUAUUUAGAGUUUGGACCCCCGGAUUUUGGUUUGAUUUUAAUUUCAUCCUUUAGUUCAUUUAAUUAAUUUAUGUUUUUUAAAAGAAAAGGGGAGUUCCUCUAUUAUUUAAAGUUAUAUAUAUAUAUAUAUAUAUAUAUAUAUAUUAUAUAUUAUUUACCUAAUAUCUUUCUUAUUAUUUGUAUUAUUUGAUUUAAGUCAUUAUAUAUACACAUACAUAUUUUUUAUUAAUUUAUAUACAUAUACAUACUUAUGUAUAUUUCUUAUUAUAUCAUAUAAUUUAUAUAUAUGUACAUAUUCUUUAUUUAUUAAAUAUACUUUUUAUAUUUCAUAUUUUCUACAUACAUAUAUAUACUUAUAUAUUUACAUAUUUUAAUUCAUAUACCUAUACAUGUAUGUACAUACUUACAUUAUUUUAUUUUUAUAAUAUACAUAUUUAUAUCUUUUUUGUCUUUAUAUAAUAUAUAUACACACGUGCGUAUUUUAUUUAUAUAUAUGUAAUUAUGUUUUCAUAUUUUAUAAUUCUUAUACAUAUACAUAUAUAUAUAUAUAUACGUAUAGACAUACAUAUUUUCAUUAUAUAUAUAUAUAUAUACCUAUAUAGUUUUUUGUAUUUUAAAUUUUUUAAAAUUCAUACAUACAUUUUUAAAAUUUUUAUAAUUUUAUUCAUUUCUUUAUUAUCAUUAUUUUUUUACUUUAUGUUUAUUUAUUUAUUUAUGUGCAUUAUUAUUUUAAAAAAUGUUUUAGUUUUUAUUUUAUUUAUUUACUUGUUAUUGUAUAUAAUUGAUUUGUUUUUUAUAUAUUUAUUUUUGUUAUUUUUGCUCAUAUUAUUUUUACUCGCAUUAUCAUAAUUGUUAUUCCGUCACAUAUAAUUUUUACCCAAAUUCAUAAAAAAGAGAAAUUUUAAGAAUAAAGGCAAUACUCGGUAUUUGGGAUUUUCGAGAAUAUUGAGCCCUAACAUAUUGUGUUCCAAUUUUCUUCGUUAAAUCUAAAUAAUAGAGAAUGCUCUUUAAUAUAAAAAAAAUAAAUAAAAAGCUCAUUAUCGGGAAUUCAAUACGUUGUGUCCUAACGCAUUGUAUAUGACACGUUAUUUUCUCGAGACGAGGAUUUUUUUCAAAAAAAUAAUAAAGGCAAUAUUUCGUAUUUAGAAAUUCGAGAAGCCGUGCCCUAACUUACUGUGUUUCGAUUUUUCUCGCGUUAAAUCUAAAUAAGCGAAUAUCCUUUUAAAAUUGAAAUAAAUGAGGUUUAAAUAAAAAAUAAAAGGCAAGCUUACUCUCAAAAAUACGAGGUGUCGUGUCCUAACUUACUGGAUGUGACAUCUUGUUACUUCGAGAUAAGGAGGCAUUUUUCAUUUUGAUUUAUUGGAGUAAUUUUAAAAUAACACAAUAUAAAGAGGGAUCGUAUUUUUAAAUUCUUUUCGAGUUUUUAAUUUUCGACACUAAGACAUUAAGUAAUCAACUAGGUACCAAUUUUGGGCGUUACGAGGGUGCUAAUCCUUCCUCGUACGUAACCGACUCCCGAACCUAUUUCUUUGAUUUUCGCAGACCAAAUGCAUUGUUUUAAUAAAUCUAAAUCGUUUAUUAAAAACAACCGUUUUACGAGAUGACCCGAUCACACCUCAUCAAUAAAGAUUGGUGGCGACUACUGUUUUCGUUUUUAUUUUCAAAAUCCAAAUCGACCCCAUUUCAUAAAAAAAUGGUGUCAACAUGUACAAAGUAGACAAAACUUGCACUCGACACAGAUCGAUCGGCGAACAAAGAGAACAAAGAGAGCGAGGCAAGACCCUUAAAAAGUAAUUUUUAAAUUAUCAAAUAUUUUUUAAACUACAAAAUUUAUAUAUAAAAUCCUUACGUCAAAUAUUUAUAAAAGUAGUUUGUCAUUAUUGGAAUCCAUUUGACGGUUACAUAAAUCUUUCAUUCUUCACAUUAUGUAUCAGACUUGGUAAGUUUUAAAACUGGGUUAAACGCCACCAUUUCUGUCACCCACUUCUUGUAAAAAUACUAACCUUCUUUUCAGAGUGAGAUUUUACAAUUUAUCAGUAGACUACCAUCAAAUUGGAAAAAGAAUGGACAAGACUAGGUACGCGUGAACACCAGCAAGAUUCCCCAGGCAAUGGAAAAUGAAGAAAAAUUAAAAUAGCAAUCCUUCAAUUUGUUAAUAAAUAAAAUGAAAAAUGAAGAACAUGUUGCAUGAGGCACAUUAGUUAGUCAAAAGCAAUCUUCGUAAAUAAAAUGUCAUUUUCACAAAUAGAUUUGUCAACUUGAUAUGGCGAUAUUUAUUAAUAAAAAAUCCCAACGAGUUGCUUAAUGUUUGUUUUUUUUAAUAUUUUAAAUGAUGAUCAUUUUUAUUUUUUUAUAAAGAAAUUUGAUUAAAUUUUGCAUUACAGAUAAGAAAAUCCAAGGAAGUAAGUAGCGUUAGACAAUUUGUAGAUUUAUAUUUUUUAAGUGCACGUCAUUGAUAAGAAGCAAUUAAUUUAAUAAUUAAAGAAAAUAUUAAAAUGACCGAAUGAUACUCUUUCUUUCUUUUCUUUUUUUUUAAUGUUCUUAUUUGUCCAAACUUAUCAUCUUGAAUUUUUAUUAUUAUUAUUUUUCUAUAAAACGUUUAAAACUAUCUAUAACUCUUCUCCAACUCAUAUAUAAGAAGAUAAUGUGCUUCAACGCACUUGAACACAUGUCCUCCUGUAUUGGCAAUAAUAUUCAUGCUAAUCGAGCUAAAACUCAAUCAGGAUUAUAUCAAAUUAGUCUCUUUAUUAUUAAAUAGAUUAAUUUAAUCUUGUGUUAUUAAAAAGAAUUAAAUAAGAUCAUAUUAGAUAAGAGUUAGCAUUUACUGUUUAAAAAGUAACAUGAAAAUUAUUAUUUCAUUUACUGUACAACUCCAAACAAAAUAUUUCAUCUGUAGAAUCAUAAAAAGCUUUCAAAAUAUAACUUUGUUUAACACUAAAUGUUAACUUUUGUUGAAAUUUGACUUUAUUUGAUUUUUUUAAUAGUACAAAGAUUAAAUUGAUUUAUUUAAUAAUAGACGGACUAAUUUGAUCUGAUCUCUACAUUCCCCCUUAUAUUAGAGUUUAGCCGAGUGCAAUAAGUUGUGGAAUAGGAGGUAUAAAUAAAAGCUUGUAUGUAUUAGAGUUUGGCCCAAUAAAUAUAAACAACUCCAGAACAUUCGAGUUAGGGUGUGUUUGUUAAAACUGAAAAUUUAAGUGCUGAAAAAUUAAGUACUAAUUUUUUGUUAGAAAAUUGUUUGGUAAAUUAGUAAAUACAAGUACUGAAUAUAAUUGCCAACAACCUCUUGGCCCAGUGUUAAGAGUAGUAUGUUGUAGGCAUGAAAGCCUGAGUUUGAAUAUAGUUUUGGAUGAAAGAUAAAUAUAUUAAUUUGAAUAUUUCAUUUUUUUAAAAAGAUAAUUUAUUUCAAUUUUUAAUAAAAUAAAAUCAACUUAUUCAACACUUUUUUGUUGAAAAUUUUAUAUUAAGUAAAAAAUAAUAAAAUGAUUAUCAAACAUGUUCAAAAUAUUGAAUUUUGAAAAUUUUCAUUUUCAAUGAAAUAAAAAUUUUCAAUUGUUUAUCAAACAUACCCUUAAUUCGCACCUUCAAGUUAAUUUUCCAUCUUUCUAUAAGAUGAACACUGGAAAAUGCAAGAAUCUUCUUCAGCUACUUGUAAGUAACAUGACAUAUCCUCUGUUGUCAACGUCAAAACAAUUUUGGAUCAUCUAAAACAAUUAGUAAUCUUAACACUUUCAUUCUAUCUUGUUUGAUCAUUGUUUUGUAGUGUAAAAGAAAUGGCAAUGAUCCCAAAUUUUUUCAUGUAGAAACAAUGGGGUACUUGCUUAGUAAAGAAAAACUGUGGCAAAAAAUAGUGCUUGGAACUAUGGUCGUAGUUUCAACCAUGAAACCAAUAAAGCGCAUAAACGUAAAGAUGAACACUAAGAUUGUUUACCUAGUUUGACCUCAUUCUAUGUCACCGAGGCUUUGCCCAUAGUAAUGAUCCACUAUCUUUCAACAGUACAACCAAUGAUUUAAGUCUUAACAUUGGGAUGACUCUUUCCAAUUUAGCGAUCUCACCGUUGUAUAAAGACUAGACCGCUUUCCCACUGAGCUUCUUCCUCGAAAGCUUAAUUUUGCAAUACAAGAUACUCUCUUGGUCACUUACAAAAACAACGCACACGUAAAAUGUUCCUAACUUGAACAAAUUUGUUCUCUCUCAAUCUCUCAGUAUCUUUUUAACUUAGACAAAAGUUAAGUUUAUAUACUACUUAAGUUUUGCUUACAUAAGAUCAUAGUUUAGUCAUUUUUAUAUAAAAUAAAGCUAAAAUCAGAAUAGGAUAAUCUUGGUAUAAUUCCAUAAGAAUCUCAGUGUAAUCCAAUGCCUUCAAAUAUGGAAAGUGACUUUACUUGAUCCUCAAAUAUCUAAUCUUCAAUUCUUCAGUUUUAACUCAAUUGGUCUUCAUGUUUUGGGCUUUAGCUCAUCCAAAUAUUUCCAAAGCAGAUAGUCUAAUGUUUUUGUUCUAAAAUUUGCCAACUUGGAAAAUAGGCAAGUAAACAAUGAAAUAAUGCCUCAAGCUGUGGCCACUAUUUCAACCACCGAAUUUUUUCUUGCCUUCACAUGUGUAAACGAUCUCCUCCUUUGGCAAUUUUUGAACAAAACAUAUAAAGGGAAAAAUAAAAUCACCACAAUUAGAUGUUCUCCUCUUAAGUAUCUCCCCCUUGAUCAAACAAUCUCAACUACCUCAUUUCAAAGUAAUUUAACCAUUAAUAAAGGAAUUAACACAGUAAAGACAAAAUAAUAAGCUUGUUAAUAUGAUCCAAAACAUGUAAGGGUAGGUACAAAGUUAUUAAAUUCAUGAGAAAUGGAACCUCAAGCUUUUUUCUAUUAUUUUUCCCCUAAAAAACUACUACUUCACUAGUCCACCUUUUUGUUCAAUGAUUGUAAAAGGGCCAAUGAAGUUGUCUGGCUAAGAUAUCCAACUUCAUGGCCAAUAGCUUUCUAUUGCGUAAUUUGAAAAUCUACCACUCAUUGGCAGCAAUUUCAUCAGAAAGAAACUUGAAGAGCCUUUGCUAUGCCAAAAGUUUUAGGCAUUGUUGUGUCUUCAGUAGGGGUUUCUUCUCUUGCACAUUUUCAGGGUCCAAAGGAGCAUGCCAACAUUCUAUCCAUUUGUGAGAAAACUUCAAUUCUAUAUGCAUAUUCUUAUACUUCUAAACAGUUUUGACAAUUUUAGAGUUUUGCAUAAAUAGGAUUUGAAACAUGAAAGAUGGAUAGAAGAGACUGAGCUUAUUAUAAACCUUUUUAGCAUAAUGACAGAUCUCUACGAAGAUUAAGUCCCCAAUACAUUGAGACUUUAAUUUUUGAGAAUCCAAUUUCUUGUGGCUAUGGCAUAGAGUGCAACAUAAAUUGGUUCUAGGGCUAAUGAGUGAAGUUCUGAAUAAACUAGCCAUGUGAAGUGAACUCCAUUAGUAAUUUGAGCAGCAAUAGUUUCUUUAGUUUCCCCAAAUUCCACAUUAUUAGUGUAAGGAUGGUGUAGCAAGUGUUUGAUUUGUGCAGGUUGAACUUGUACCAUUUGCCUCACACAUAUACUUUGUGAUAUAGCUUAUUGGUGGGGUCAUCAAUGCUUAAAAGCAAGUUUGUCACACUCAGUUUUCUUUAAGCCCAAAAUUUAGAAAUAAUUAGGGGUUAAAUUGAAGGAAAUCGUAAGUUAGCAGCUUAUAUUAAAAUUAAAUACUAAUUUGGACAUAGUUGAGUUCAAAUUCUGGUUUGAUUGGAUGAGAACCAACUGGUUCGUUAGUGGGAGAUAGGAUGAUUACCAAUGGAUGGUUUUUAUAGGUUUAAUAAUUGUGAAUGAAGGGCUAUAAAAAGUUGAAAAAUGAAUUCUCAAGGUGAAUUCUUCUCAAUUCUAUUUAAUUUUCUUCUUUUCUUCAUCUUCUUCUUAAUUUCUCUGAAGAAGAGAUAGUUACGAGAAUCUCUAUAUGGAGCGGUGAUCAUGAGGUUUGAGCCAGAAAAGUAGAGAAUCCAGUGAGUUGGUAAGGUUCUAAGUUCUUUAGUGUUCGUAAAUUUAAAGAAUAAAGUUAAAAAUUUUCAAAAUCUUUGAGAGAUUUUGCAUGUUUCUAGAAACUGAGUUUUUAAGCUGGAAUACUAAGUUUAAUUUAUAACUUUAGUUGUCAAGCUUAGCUGCCAGGAGAAUGGAAGCUUUGGCAUUAUGAAAAGCUAAGUUGAUAAAGCAAAUAAGCAUCAAGUGAGUUUCUAUACUCCAUACAUAGAUGUGCUUUGAAUGCUAAACUUGCAUAAGGAUGAGUAGGUAUAUGAGUAUCUACAAGUGUUUCGAUAUGCAUGAAAUGGUUGUAAUACCAUGCAUAAAUUUAGCGUACUCUAUGUUACUAUGUUAUGUGGUAAUAUGCAUGUGUCUGUGUGACUAUAAAUUGUGCAGUAUGUAGGGAAAAUUUUAAAAGGAUAUAUGGGUAAGAAAAGGGAAUUUUCUAUUAGAUUUCGUAAACCGGUGUUGCUGGAUGCAAACCGUGAUAUACGAAGCAUCGAGCUUUGCGGAAGGGACACUACGGUGUUCGAGUAUCAAGAUUAGAUGUGAGAUGAAAUGUUAAUGACUAGCUCACUAAAGUGACACCGUGAUGAUGGUCUAUCGACUCUAUGGAAUAACCUCGUGGUGGCAGUAAGGUCAUUUAGGGCAACACUUUAAAGAGGUUUAAGGUGUAAGAUCAUAGCUCGAUUAUGGCACCAAUGGAGUCUGCCAGGACAUUAAACAUAGGGCAUGAAGUGUAAGACCAUAGUUCGACUAUGACAACAUAUGAUACUCUGCUAGGAUGGUAAACAUGAAAAGAUCACUCAGGUGAUGAAAAAUAAAAAUGUUGACAAAUAACAGUUAGCCAGCAGGUUUGAGGAAUCUGCCGAAAAGGAAAAAAAAAUAGAAAUGAGAAAGAGUUUGCCAAAACGGUAAAUAGUGAGGCCAAUAUGGCAUAUGAUCUUAACCCAACUAGAAUCAAUCAUGAGAGUGAUGUGUCAAAAAUGCCUUGUAUAUGGGAAAACGGAAAAGGAUAUAUACCCGUGGAUCACAGGUAAGGAUCUGCCAUUAAGAACCAAUAGGAAGUGCUCAAAGAAACAAUGUACGGGUGAAAAGACCUUGGUAGGUUAAUGUGAGAUUCACUCCCAAUAUAAGGCUUUGAUGAAAUCAUAGUGAAACGAGGAAGUUCAAUAGUAUGUACCCCAAAUAAUCAAGUUGUAAAGAGGGGAUUAGUUGGAAGCUAAGGAUAAAAAGAGGUAUUGUUAGGGAAUUAUCCAAGUGACAGUUAUGUCUGUCAAGACUAUUCCUCUUUAAAGGGAAUCUACUGAGGGUACACCUAGCAUAAAGUUAGUUCCGUAGGGAACCAUCUUACAAGAGAAAUCGUAAACUCAAAGGUAUCACAAAUAGGAUGGAUUACGAGUACAUAAUCUAACCAACUUUUCAUCCCGAGUGUAGGGUGAAUUGAGAUUAAGUCCGUCAGAGUGGUCUAGACCCUCAUUAGUUAUCCUAUCUGAUCAGAUGUUAGAAAGUCCUUCAAGAUAAUAGUAAGAAAAGGAGUCCGCCAAGAACUAGUCAGAUUUGAAAUGUACGCCAAGGAAGAUAUAACUAAAGGGUCAUCAGGAUGGAAAUUUAGGAGGACAACCUUUUAAAUAUAUUGAGAAAAAGAUAAUGUAGGCGAAGAAAGGACAGGAUAGCUAUAGGAUCGACCAGGGAAAGAUCGUUUAUCGAUCUAUUUGCAAAUAGACAAGCUUUGACAUUGAUUCGAAUUUUGCCAUCCCAGAUUAAGAGAAAUCAUCUUAAAAUGACCAGGUUAUUAAACGCAUUUAGUUUCUUUUCAUUUCACUACCCCUACAAGAUGGGGUCUAUUUUUGGAGUAAUGCAGUAAAGAAACUCACUAAGUUCAUUUGAACUUUUAGAAUUUUGGUUUUUGUUGUAGGACUUGUUGGGUAAUUAAGAAUCUUCAGGAGGGGCCAAGUCAGAUCGUGUUAGAUUGAAGAUCAUCAUCUGUAAAAUGCCAUGCACAUAGGAAUAGGUACCUUCGGAGGCUCUGUCUCGGGGUUAAAGACAUUGUAAUUAAGUAGUUUUUCUUAUAAUUUAAUAUUUCAAAGUAGUCAAAUUAAGUGUGGCUUAAUAUUCUGUUGUAAGAAAUAUUCGAAAUAAAUUAGAAGAGUCUUUUGGCAGAUUUUUCUAAUUAAAAUGUUAAAUCAAAUUGGUUCAUUAUGAUGCUCUAUAUCGAGACUCGGGGAUCAGGUCAAGUAAGGGCAUUUAAAACUUGGCAUAGAAUUCCAACACUACUUGCAUGAAAUAAGGCUCGAAAAAUUGAAUAGAGAUCAACAUAUCAUUUUUUUUUCCAAAAUUGUGUUAAUGGCAUGAUUACCAAAGCUUUUAUCAUCGAUGUUUUUCUCCUCAAUCAUGUUGUUCUUGGUUCAAGAGGUGUACCAUUUAGUGCUAGUAGCGAUGAUGUAGGUCCUAUCAUCUGUCUAGAAUAAGUCUUCUUCAUAUUGUUUUCUCUCUUCCUUAGAAAACUUUUAUGUAUCAGCAUCUCUCAAGCUAGUAGUUGGCUACUUCGAAGAGAAAAAAGAAUGUUAGGCCUCUUUUUCUUAGCCAUACCACUAAGCAUUAGUUUCUUGAUGGGAAUAUCUUCAUCAAAGUCAGCCUCGGAUGACUUCUUAGGUUGUUUGGACGUCUUUCUUUUGGGAAUAUGUGGGGCUUUUGGUUUUCCCUUUUCUUUAACAAUGACUUUUUUAUUGACCAUUGAUCUUGUGAUUAUUUGUUGAACUGCAGAUCUUUCUUGGUUUAUGCCACCAAUUGUGGCUUCUUUCGUGAUCAUUACAUCUUCAUCACCAUCUUCUGAUUUAGGAUUGACCUUAGCUUCAAUACCAGGCUUUGUGACUUGCUUUAUUUACUCAGUAGAAACCUCUAAAAUAGGCUCAGUGAUGUUUGUGGCAUAGUUAUUAGCCAAAGAAGAUGGACUAGUGUCAGUUCCAACUUGAGGAGAAGCAUAUGUAUUAAUCAAUGGAACAAUAGAGGAAUUGGAGUUACUUUGUUCUGUACCUCAUUUAGGGACUUCAGUCGAGAUGUAGUUGGAUAAGAAACAAGAGGGUUGUUGAGGGUAUGACCUAUUUUAGCAAGAACUUGUGAAAUAGCUUUUGUCAUCAGGAAAGGUUCUUUGGGGCUUUUUUUCUAACUUUAUUGGCUUUUUACAGCGUCAUGGGACUCACCAUGUAUCGUCUUAGAUGAUUCAUCAACCUUUGGCAUGGUCAUGGGAGAAGAUGGAGAUUGUCUAGCAUCAGGAGAGAAAGUUGUGCAUGAGAUAAUGUUCAUACUUUGUGGCAUUAUUUUUAAAUUUUCAGGGACCACAACAUUAGGGACCUCAGGAUUAACAAUGGCUCCUCUUAAGCUAUGGAAUCUUCAUCAGGUGCUCCACUAGGAUGGGGAGAGGUUCCUUCAAUGUUGGUCAUUAGAGAAAUUUGGUAAGAUUUUCAAAAAAAAAAAAAGAAGAAGGUAAUAAGGAUAAUAAGUUCAACCAAAAUUUUUUAGGGUUUGGGAGAUGUAAAGAUUUGCUUUUGAAGUAAUCUUUAUUUAUAGACACUAAAUUUAUUUUAACAUGACAACUUUUAAAAUUUCUUCCAAGAAUUUAGAAAGAGUUAUCUCUCUGACUAUUUACCUUGAAGAGUGAAAAUGUUUGACACCAAAAUUUAAUUCUUGAAAAUCUUCCAUCAAAUCAAUUAAUUAGGAACUUUUAACAUUUCUUCCAUGUUUUAGCGCGAAAAAUCCUAAUUGAAUUCUUAACCCUUCAAACCUUGAAGCAUCCAGUGGCUUGGUAGACAAGUCAACCAAUUGAUUCUUUGUUUUCACAUACUCUAACUCGACCUUUCCUCCGUCAACAAGUUCUCUAAUGAAGUGAUGAAAAAAUCCAAUGUGCUUGGUUAUUAAGUGUUGAACAAGAUUUCUUGAUAUGUUAAUUACACUUGUUUUAUCAUAAAAAUAGUGGCCAUUGAUAUUGACACACCAUAAUUUGUAAGCAUUUGCUUUACCUAGAGAAGUUGUGCACUGAUUUAUCACAAUUCGUUGUGGCAAAUUGGAUUGUUCUUACCACUUAAUGAGCUUGUUUUUAAGCAAUUUAGUAUUGUUUUAGUUAAUUUUCUGUUUUAGUUCAUUUUUAGUUAAAGUUAAUAAAAUGAGCAUUUUUGGAGUGUUUUAUGACCUAAGCCAAUCCAAGCCUAAAGGAAGACUAACAUGUUGAUUAAGUGUGCAGGACAUCAAUUCAGGCCAAUGAGUCAAUAGGCAGCCUCCGAAGUUGCCACACCCAGCUUCGAUGUCGCAACACCCACUUUAGUACAUCCAAAGAAACAUUUUACCAUCGAUGUUGAGACAUAAGCCCUACAAUUUCAUGAUAACCAAACCUGGAUGUUGAAGGGGACCAUUCUGCCUGCGAUGUCGGGACACCACUGCAACAAGGCCAAAUAAUUUGCUAAAGGUGUUUUCGUUUGCACAACUUCAAUCAUACAUGUUAAGUCAUUUUCUAUUCUUAAAUUAGGGUUUCAUGAUUUGGGGAAUUUUCAGUUUAAGUAAUUUUAAUUUUAAUUUCAGUUCUUUUAUUCAGCAAUUCUUACUUGUUCUAUUCGUUCUUGCAUUCAAUCAGGAACUAUUAAACAUCUGUCAAUAGGUUUUCUAGUUUCUAUGCUCAAUCGAUAUUCAUGAUCCAAAAUCUCUUUUCCCUUCUUGUUAUUUUUUAUAUUUAUUUUAAUAUAUGAAAUUAACUUAGGGACUUUUGUAUUUAGAUCGAUGAGGAUUUAAAACCUUAGGAAGAUUAACAAGCGAGAGUGAGGUUAAUUAACUAAAGGUUUAGAGUUUGCUUUGGAAUUAGUUGGAUUGGGUUUAGUGUAAUUAAACCCUAGGACUGACGACCUUAGGAGGUUAUUUAGGUAGAUAAGGUCAAAAUAAUAGUCUGUCGAGCAUCCCCCAACUUGUCCCAGUUUGAACUAUGAGGUCAAUAAAUAAGUAGUUCCUGCAGACUAGUUUAAUUUAGUUAGAGGCCGAAAGGUAAUAACUAGGUUAAUUACUAGCUAAAUUAGAACCCUAUAUUCGAGGUUAAUUAUGAACACUGAAGCGCGUUGAUCUUCUGCUUGCAUAAUUUGAGUGUUUUAGGUUGUUUAUUUCACUUUCUUGUUUUUGUUCUAUUUUUCAGCAUACCAUUGUUUUCGGCUUAUCAUAAUAUGAUUUUAAUUGAGUACUAUUUAUAUUUGUUAAUUUAGAAAUUAUUAUUAGUUUAAUUCAGCCUCCUUUGGAUACAAUCCUCAAAAUACUUAUGUGUUAAUAACUAUAUUACAACCUAACUCGUAUACUUGCGGACAAUGCUUUAUUUUCUAUGUUUUUAUUACAGUAUUUCCAGUCCCAACGUUCGCGCAUUGGGGCAGCAGACAUGCAUAGUAGCUUUCCAACUACUAUAUACUCUGCCUCAGCUAUAAAAAGUGAGAUGGAAUUUUGCUUAUUGUUGUACCAGGAAAAUAAGUUUGAACUAAGGUAGAAGUUAAGCUUAUGUUGUUUUGAUGUUGAGAAUACUCACGUGUUAGGUGGAGAGUGAUAUUGGGAGUGUGAUAGUUUGUAAUCCUAUUGGGGCUGGAUAAAUUAUAUUUGUAAGGGAUUUUUUGGGCUUUAACCAGUAGGGACGUUUUUUUAUUGAAUUUAUCAAAUAAGGUUACACUUUGACUGAGGCUCUGUAGACAUAGGACCAUUAUGUCCAAACUACGUUAACAAAGCUUUGUUUUUGCAUUUCCCUCUCCCUAUCGUUUCUAUUGUCUAUGUUAUUAUUCUUAUUCAAUACUAUGUUGUAACAUUAUAUAGCAUAGUUUAUUGUUCCAUUUCCAUUUACUAAUUCUUUCUUAGUUAUCAACCCAACAACCUUACUAUACAAGAUGAUAGGUUGCGGCGGGGGGGGAUAGGAAAUCUUCAAAGGAUUUAUCUAAAACCACAACAAAUAGAGAUGAAAACCCUCGGGGGAGGAACUAGGCUUUGAGUCAUGGGCUACAAAAAAAAAUUAUCAAUGGCAUUUAAAAUAUUGUCACUAUUUGUAUAUGGUGAUGCAAAAUUCAUUAUCAUCAUCAUGCUUUUAGGAACUAGAGCAAUGGUUGAACCAAUCAGGUUAUAUAGAUUCUCGAUUCAUCAUUAGUUUAACAGUUGGUUGUGUUUCAAUAAUAAUUGAUUUAAAAUUUUGAAAAUAAAAAAUUAUGGCAAAUUACACCGUUAGUCAUUCUAAAUAAGGGUCAUUCCUCCCUUUUUUUUUGUUAAUUUGGUUACCCUAAAAAAGUUGAUCAAAUUGGUCACUCUACCAUUAAAUGGUAACAAAAGAUUAACGAUGCAUUUGUACAAAAAAAAUGGGGUGAUCAAAGAGUAACGACCUUUAUUUACAGUUGGUUUUGUUUCAAUAAUAAUUUAUUUAAAAUUUUGACAAUAAAAAAUUAUGGCAAAUUACACCGUUAGUCAUUCUAAAUAAAGGUCAUUCCUAUUUUGAUCACCUUUUUUUUUUAAUUUGGUUACCCUAAAAAAAUUGAUCAAAUUGGUCACUCUACCAUUAAAUGGUAACAAAAUAUUAACGAUGCAUUUUUACAAAAAAAUUUGGGGUGAUCAAAGUAGUAACAACCUUUAUUUAGAGUGAUUGACAAAUAGUUUACCCUAAUUUUAGACUGACUAACAUGGAAAUACACCAUUAGUCCUUUAUUACCAUUUAACAGUGGAGUGACCAAUUUGAUCAAUUUCUAUUUUGGGAGACCAAAUUAGCAAAAAAAUAUUAAGGUGACCAAAAUAGGAAUGACCCAUGUUUAGACAGACUAAUGGGAUAUUUUAACCUAAAAAAUCUUAAAACAUUAUAAAAUUGAUUCAACUUUCAACUCAACCAUUUUUUUAUACAAAAUUAGUGAAUAGGGAUUGCAUUGAAUAAGUGGAGAAAAGUGAGAGACUAAAUUGCAAAUCUACCAAAAGUGAAUAAUGAUUCAAAGAUGGAAUUAUCAAUUAUUGAGGUGUAAUAAUAAAAAUGGACAUUUCUCAAUGGUCAUUUCUCAAUUUGGAUAAUUAUCAAUUAUUGAGGUGUACUAAUUAAGGAUGAACAGUGUUGAAGGAUGAUUGGUUGGAAUAAUGUAUAAUUAUUUUUUAUUAGAUUUAUUUAUUUAUUAAUUAAUGUUUAAGUAAUUAGGAAUGAUAAAAAUAAAAUCAACUUCAUCCCCUCCAUCAUCUCACACCACUCUCCAUGGUUUGUUUUCUUUGCAGUUUGUUCUUUUGCUUGAAAUUAAGAGAGAAGUCCUUGAAAUUCCAUUGAAAUUUUUAGUAAAAUCAAGCCUUCAACAAACUAGUGAACUUAGAUUUUAAGAAGGGAGAUAAUAUGUUCAUGUUGGAGGAGAGAGAAAAUCAAUCUAAGGCUUGAAAUUUAGAGAACAAUGCAAGAAUAUCAAAGUUCCAUAAUGUUUUAAAGUUUGAUUUUGUUACAAAAAAAGAAGUGAUGUUAAAGUAGAGAAUUCUCAUGAAAAUUCUUAUGUUCUUGACAUGUUAUUGAAGAAAGAGAUAGAGGAAAUGAUUUAAGUGACAAAGAAAAGAGAAAAACAAGUGAUUUAAGGUUGAAGAGAAGUAAAUACCCUUAAAUUCUCUUGUUAUCAAUGACUAAAUUGUGAACUUUGUAAAUUUAUAAUUAAAUUAGAAAAGUAAAGUGUAUAAAUCCAAGUAUGUGAAAUAAGAUAUUAUGAUGAAUUAUUUAAUUAAAGUGAUAAAUGAUAAUAAAUUUGAAUGAAAGGUGGAAUUAGAAUGGUUUUAUGAUAAUUAUUGAAUUUUUAUAGUUAAUGACUAAAUUGUACAAUAGUGAAAAAUGACUACAAGUAUUAAAAAUUUUGGAAAGAAUUAUACAAGUGAUGUGUUACAUGGAAGAGAACUGAUCUAAAAUGACUAAGUAACGAAUAAUGAAUUUUGUGGUAAAAAUGAUGAAAAGUAUGUAAAAGUUUUAUGUGUUAUUAUUAGAUAAGUGAAAAUGAUGUAGAGAGUCUGAAAUAUAUGUAAAUUUUGGACCAAAGAUUUAGUGAAUAAAAAUCUUGGGAUUAUUGUAAUUGAAAUUACAAUUAUUCUUUAAAUAGUGAAAAUAAAAGCUAAAUUAAAAAAGUACAAAAGUGUAGUUAAAUUGUGAAAAAUGUGAAAUAAAGAAUAAUAUAUGUAACAGGCCAAUUCUGCCCGGCCCACUAAAUAAAAAAAAUAUAAUAAACAAAAUUAAAAUAAAUAAAAGUCCAAUAACAAUCAGGUCCAUUUACAAAUAUCAAACACAAAUUACACCAAGUCGAAGUGGUCCAAAUAAAAAAACCAUAAAGCCCACAACACCUAAAUUGUUUCAAAACUAAACAAAAACCCUAAUCUAGCCUUAGCGCCGCACCCUAAUGCCACCAUCAAUCGCUCCUUAACCACUACCUGCAAGGAAAAAGGAAAAAAAGGACAGGAGCAGAUACACAAACAGUAACGAAAUAGUAGAAAAUAAUAUGUAAUGUAAUGGCUAUAAAAGCCAUGAAACAGAUUGUAAUAGGGUUUUUUUUUGAAAGAAAUAGAAAUCGAAAAAAAAACAAAAAAAAAGAAAUCGAAAAAAAUACAAAAAAAUUAGAGGUGAUUUUUUUCUUGUAUUUAUUUGUUUAUUUUUUCCCGAAUCUUUUAUAUAUAUAAGAUCAUAAAUAAAAAGAAAAAGAAAACACUUACUUGGCAAUUCGCGUCCCACCUCCGAUGAAAGGUGGCUCUGUCGAGAAGUUUUUUUCUUAAAACUCAAAAAUCGAAGGCUUUCUUCGAGAUUUCUGCUAUUCAGUGGGUUUUUCUUGGAAAAAAUGAUCUUUGAUCUAGGCUCAAGGAACCAAAACAACCAAAAAGGUUUUUUUUUUUCAGCCACCAUAGACGGCGAAGCCGUCGUUGGUGAUCGACAGCCAUCGCGGCGGAGUUCAGUGACUCCCUUGGCUAGAUUCUGGGCUGUGUCUAGAGAGAAAACAGAGAAAAGAGGGUUUUUUUUAAAACACUGGUGAAAUGAUUUUUUUCGUUUUUUUAAACUUAAAUAAAGGAUCAAGACGAUAUCGUUUUGGCUUGGGUUCAUAAACCCCAAAACGUCAUCGUUACGAGGAUGUCCCAAAGUCGAAAGAGUUUGUGGGGACAAGGUCUACAUGCGAUGUGGACAAUAUCUUGUGGAGGAUGAAAAACUACUUCCGUGCCAAAGGCAUCACGGAUGAUGCAGUUAAGGUAAACACUACUUCAAUGUUUCUUACUAAUAUUGCGCUUUUAUGGUUGCGAGGUAGGACCACAAAUAAAAGGCAAGGUGAGAUUGGGACAUGACAAGAGUUCUAAUGUGAGUUGAAGGGACAGUUUUACCCAGAAUUUACCGAGGAAAAAGCUCGGGCAAAGUUGCAAGGGAUAACGCAACGGGGCACAAUGGGGGAGUAUGUUCGAGAGUUCAAGGAACUCAUGCUCCAAGUUUCAGUUGUGACCAAGAAAGAAACAUUGCUUGCUUUUCAGAAUGGAUUGAAGCUGUGGGUCAGACAAGAGGUGGAACAAAGAUGUAUCCAAAAGCUGUCAGAAGCCAUGACGUGGUAGAGUCCGUGGUCAAGCUUGGACUAGGGAAAGACAAGCUUGGGUCCUCCAAAUCCGAAGAAAGGGGCUUAUGUGAAAAGGAUCAUAAGGAAGAUGUUGUUGAUAAAAAUGGCGACAAUAGUAGUAAUGGGAAACCAUGAGUUAGGAAGAAGAAACCCAAGAGGAAAAGGGACAAGUUGAAAUGCUUUCUCUAUGACGGUCCACACAUGUUGAAGAAAUGUCCGAAGAAAUCCGCGCUUAAGGAGAAGCCGGUGGGUAAGGCCUUGGUACUUGGUUCGAGCGUAAGGGGUGUCAAAGCUAAGGAGGCUGGAAGUGAGAAGAAGCCAGUGGAGUGCUUCUUGCGUCAUGGUCCGCAUAGGUUGCGAAAGUGUCCGAGGAAAUUUGUCAUCGAAGGGAACGAUGGAGUAGACAAGGAGCCCAAGAAGCUGGGUUCGAGCAAGGGAAAAGCCGAAGCCAAGAGGGCAAAGAGGAGCAAAAAGAAGUGAGUAAAGUGCUUCUUGUGCCGUGGUCCGUAUGAGUUGCGGAACUAUCCAAAACAAGUCAGAGUCAAAGGAAAGGCAACGUCUGAGCUUGGUGAGUCAUCGGCAAGUCUUCCAGCUAUAGGAGAGGUGGGUGGUGCAUUGGAAUUCAAGGGAAAAGAAGUGAUGCAAGUGGGACAGUUGACCCGAGUAAAUGCAAAGGUACAUUCCAAACACUUUGAUAGUGUGUUGCAUUCUAACUUGUUAACUUGGUAAGAACGUAGAGGCCCUUUUGAAGUUCUUGAGCAAAGAGGCCGAGAGACUGUAGGCAAAGCGAAACCAAGUGUUGUUGUAACACCCCUAACCCGAAUCUGUCGCCGGAACAGGGUUACGGAGUAUUACCAGAGUUUACAAAUUAAUUAUCAGACAUUUCAUUUUAUCUAUCAUUCAUAUUUGAAACCAAUCAAAAUUAAAACAUUUAUGGGUCAAUGAUGGCCAAAUUAACUUAUACAUGCCAUUAUAACCAGAAUCAAAUCAUCCAAAAUUACCGAUAGAACCAAUGGAUAGUGUGAUAUAUCUUUGACAAGCUUCCAACCUAAUCGAGCUUCCGAUAAUCUGUAGGGUAAAUGAAUAAAAAAAUACGUAAGCAAUGAAUGCUUAGUAAGCUCGUGUAGUCUUUAAUCAUAUUAGUUUAUAUUUUCAUUUCACAUUUUCAUAUUCAAUUCACAUUUUCAAAUUAUAUUCCACAAUCACGUUUCUUUCGAUAGCUCAACUGUUUCAUUUCGUUCGAUUUAACUUUUCAUUUAAUUACCCCUAUUAACAGACUCAGGCUUUGGUGGAUAUUGGAUUCCAACCAACACAACAGUACGGCACAUUGUGCCCAAAACGGUACAUAGUACCUGAUCAGUAAUCAGUAACAGUAGGUGUAACAAUAACGGUAACAGUAUUAUACACAUAAAGUGCCGAAUCGGUAACAGUAACGGUAGCAGUAUUCGACACACAAAGUGUUGAAUCAGUAACAGUAACGGUAACAAUAUUCGACACACAAAGUGUCGAAUCAGUAACAGUAACGGUAACAAUAUUCGACACACAAAGUGCCGAAUCGAUAACAGUAACAAUUGUCGGCACAUAAGUGCCUGAUCAGUAAGCUGACAAAAACCCGUACUCUUCUAUAUCCUAUGGCAUGCCAAUUAUAUCUGACUAACCCGACUAGUUAAUAGGGUAUUUAAUUCAUUUUUAGUACAAUUUCCAUCUUAGUUCAGUAUCAAUUAUAAUUCCUUAUUUCAAUCAGUUUCACAGUAUUGCAGUAAUUCAUUACUUCAGUAAUUUCACAGUUCAAUGUAGUACACAUAACAAUAUUCAGUAACUUCACAAUUCAACUCAGUACUCAAAACAAUAUUACGUAUUCCAUAAUUCAGUUCAGUAUCAGUCUCAAUUUCAAUACCCAAUCAUAAAUUUAUCAUUUUACCAAACACUUACCUGAAAAUACUUACCACACAUAAUUAGUAAAUUAAACACAUAAUAAUGAUAAAGUUUGAAUUAUAGUGAUACAAACUUACUAGGCUAAAUUUCAGAAUUACCAAGAUACAGGGGCAUUUUGGUAAUUUUCCAUUUCCCUCGAUUUUCCUCCUCCUCCUCUCCAUUCCACAUCCUUAAUGUGUAUAACACAUUUAAACAACAUUAUCCAUACUAUCACUAUUUUCCUGUAUGUAAAUUCAAGCUAUCUGUCUGAGUCUGAGUCACUAAUUUAUUUAUAUCUCAAGCUACAGAGCUCCAAAUUAAGAUCCAUUAAUUUUUCAUGAAACUAGAUUCACAUAUCUUCUUACCAUAAAAUUUUCAGAAUUUUUUGUUAAUCCAAUAAGUACAUUUUAUUCUUUAAAGUUUUCCCUAUUUCACUGUUUGAUAGUUCCCACCUCUCUUCACUAAAAAUUAAUUAUCUCAUUGUACAGAAUUUUAAUUAUAUCCUUGUUUAUUUAUCUUGAAAAUAGGCUCAUCAAGGAUUUUAAAAAUAUAACCUAUAAACCAUAAUUAUUUUUUUACAAUUUUUAAUGAUUUUUCCAAGUCAAAACAGUGAAUUCUGAAAUCAUUCUGACCCUGUCUCACCAAAGUUCAAAUAUCUCAUAAUAUAAAAUUAUUUUAUGUACACCGUUUCUUUUAUUUAAAAAUAGACUCAUUCAUAUUUAAUUUCAUAUAUUAUUCAGCCUCUAAUUCAAUUUUCACCAUUUUUGGUGAUUUUUCAAAGUCACACAACUAUUGUUGUCUAAAUUGUUUUGUUGCUGAAUGUACUCUUUCAUAAUUUUUCACUUUUUCUCACUUUUCUUUUUAUCGAUCACUGUCAAUUUCUCGUCUUUCUUGAUUCAUAACAACACAUUUAACUUAUUUAGAACUCACAUUAUUCAAUUUAGUUCAAAAAUCACUCUUUGGAAAAAUUACAUUUUUACCCCUAAACUUUUCAUUAAUUCUUAUUUCGUCCCUAGGCUUGAAAAACGAAAUUCAUGCAAUUCAAUCCCGUUUUCAAGCCUAAAUGAAAUUCAUAUGUAUCUAUAACAGUCCAUAGAUUUCACAAAAAUCAGAAUUUUCCUUUGAAUUUCACAAGUUUACCAUUUAGGCCCUGAAUCUCAAUUUCACCCAAAAUCACUAUGUAAAAGUUGUUUAUUUACUAACAACCUUUCAUUAACUACCAUAAAUUUCCAAUUUUCAGCAUGUUCAUCCAUAACACAAUUUCCAUACCUUAACAACUUUUCAAAUAAAUCCUCAAAAUAAAUUUAUGCCAAGAAAGUCUCUUUUCUCUCUCCUAGGGUUUCUAUAUAAAUUUUGGGAAAGAAGAUGAUAGAAAAAGAUGAUAUGUUCAUGUAAUUAAUUAUCAUCUUUUAAUUUCCUAAAAUUCCAAUUUAGUCUUUUUCUUUUUCUCAAAUUACAUGGAUGAUUUCAUCCAUAAAAAUCUACCAUAUUUUGAUUGAUAGUCUAUUUACCAUAUAAGGACCUCUAGUUUUGAAUUUCAUAGCUAUUUAACCCUUUUAGCUUCUAGAAUUCAAUUUCUACAUUUUAUACAAAUAGGUCAUUUCCUUAAUUAAUCAGUAAAUCGAUAAAAUUUUCAUAUCAGCAUUUUCAUGCAACAUUUCUAUCACAAUGAACCCAUACCAAAAUUUUAAAAUAAUUUUUUCCUCGUCGAAUUUGUGGUUCCGAAACCACUGUUCCGACUAAACCCAAAAUCGGGCUGUUACAGUUGUGAAUCAAGAGGAUUCUGUUCGAAUCAAGUUAGAAUAUAGGCAAGAGAGUGACAUAACUUCUUGUCGUCGUGAUGUACAAACGAGUAGGAUGGUUCGAGUUAAGAAGAGACGUAAGCCGAGGCAAAAGUCCUGAAGGAAGAGAAAAGCUAAGACGUCGAGACAAGACUGAGGCGAAUCAAGUCAGUGCCAUUCGGAAGCCGCAACGAGGGCUUUGCAAGAAUGGGUAGGGGGAAUGUCACGAGCUGCAGUUCAAUGCCCAUGACCAUCGCACCAAAUGCAUCAAAUGGAGGUUUAUUGUUUAGAUAGGGGAUCAUUUGGCCCACAAGAACUGGCCCGAUUCAAGAAGCUAUUGGAAAAGCCUGCCAGAUUGAAGCCUGGUUGGCCCGAUAAUGAAGAUAUGACAACUUAGGCUAAUUUGGUAACUAAUCUUAGAAGAUUGAGGGAAUCAUAUCUUGUAAAGAUUAGAUUAGAUUUGAUAUGACAUAUCCUGGAAAUCCCUAAAAUCAACUGAUAUGGUUAAUCUCGUACGUCGAUGUAAACGUAUCUUGACCGUCGGUUUUGGGGGAGCUCAACUAUAAAUAAAGAGCCUCCCCCUCAUUUGUACUCACUCCAUUCAUUGUUUCAUUAUUCUUUGUGAAUAAGAGAAUAUUGAGAGCAUUUAUUCAAACACUUUGUGUGCGCUCUUUCUGUUGUUCUUUGUAGCUUCUUUUGGAAUGAAUCACUUCCGUUCUUUAACUUGGUGCUUUGGAGGAGUUCUUACGGAAUCCUCAGUUGAGUAAAGGUUGACUUAGGCGAGUUUGGAUGAAUGGAUCCCCUAAGGUCGCACGAAUCGCGAGACGAAAGAUCUAGCCCUAUGACACUAGCGCCACACCCUAAUGCCACCGCCGCUCCUAGCUUCUGCCACCAUCAAUCACUCCUUAACCACUACCUGCAAGGAAAAAGGAAAAAAAGGACAAGAGAAAAUACACAAAUAGUACGAAAUAGUGGAAAAUAAUAUGUAAUGUAAUGGCUAUAAAAGCCAUGAAACAAAUUGUAAUGGGUUUUUUCUAGAAGAAAUAGAAAUCGAACAAAAAAACACACACAAAAAAAAAAGAAAUCGAAAAACAUAAUACAAAAAAAAAUACAGAGGUGAUUUUUUUUCUUGUAUUUAUUUUUUUUUCUUGAAUCUUUUAUAUAUAUAUAAGAUCAUAAAUAAAAAGAAAAGGAAAACACUUACUUAACGAUUCGCGUCCCACCUCCGAUGAAAGGUGGCUCUGUCGACAAGUUUUUUUUUCUUAAAACUUAAAAACUGAAGGAUUUCUUCGAGAUUUCUGCUAUUUGGUGGGUUUUUUGGAAAAAAAAAAGAUCUCCGAUCUAGGCUCAGGGAACCAAAACAACCAAAAAGGUUUUUUAUUUUAUUUUUUUGGCCACCGUGGAUGAUGGAGUAUUCGCUGGUGACCGGUGGCCGUCAUUGCGGAGCUCGACGGCUCCGUUGGCCGGAUUCUAAGCUGUGCCCAAAGAGAAAACAGAGAAAAGAGGGGUUUUUUUUUAAACACUGGUGAAAUGAAUUUUUUUCGUUUUUUUAAACUUAAAUAAGGGAUCAAGAUGGCGUCAUUUUGGCCUGGGUUCAUAAACCCCAAAACGACGUCGUUUUAUGGCGUGACCCGAUUACCAACCCGAUCCUAAGAUCCACAUGUUUUCGCGACAAGGGUUUAGUUGCGACCCUGUUCCUUCCGUUUUUGGGCCUUUUUUAAUUUGGUCCUAAUUUCGUUUUUUUUCUUUUUUAGAUGGCACCGUUUAAUUUUGAAUUUCUUUUAAUUUGGUCUUUAGACCGUUGACCCUUGGGGAAGGACGCAUGUAUUUUGGGAUUAAUUUCUUCGAGGCCCUCUAAACUUUGCAUUGCGUUUUAAUUUAGUCAUUUAUGUUUUUAUUCAGACCUUAGAUUUCAAUGGACUUUCAAUUUAGUCCUUAUUUUCCCUUUUCCUUUAUUAUUUUGCGAUUUGUAAUUUGAUUUUUUAUUUAAAUUUAAAUUUAAUUCUUUGUUUACCUAAUUUCAACCUUUUUACAAAUUAUUUAUUUAUUAUUUCUUCAACCCUUUUUCAAUAAUUAAAAUGCAUUUAUUUAUAUUCCUUUUAUGUACUUUCCUAUAUUAUUAUUAUUAUUAUUAUUUAUUUUUCCUUUAUUAUUUAAUUAAGUAUUAGAAUGGUAAUUAAUAGGAUUAUUGUCACUGUUAAUAUUUGGUGUUUAAUUAUUAUUAUAAUUAUAUUGUUAUUAUUAUAUCCUUUAUUUAUUAUUUAUUAUUUUAAUAUCCUACUCAAAUAGUCAUUUUAUUUUACUUUAUCAAUCCAUUAUAUCAUUUAUUCGUACAUGCUAUCCUAUUUCAUCCUUGAUUAUCAUUAUUUUACUUACUUAUUUUAUUAAUAUAAUAUAAUAAUAAUCAUUCUAGGAUUAGUACCAUUAUUAUUAUAAAAUCGAUAUUAUUAUGAUAAAGUUGAUAUUAUUACUAUAAAAUUGGUAUUCUCAUUACUAUUAUAGUUCCAUUAUUACUGUUAUUUACCAACGUGUUUUUUUUUUUAAUUUUUAAUUUCAUCAUUUAUUUUAUUUUUAUUUAUUUAUUUAUUUAUUAUACUAACAUCAUCAUUUCAUUUUUUUACCUACAUGAUUCUUUCAACUUAUUUUGCUAUCACAAUGUACUUAUCAUUUUUCAUACAUUAUGCCCAAAUAAAUUAAAUAUACCUUGUUUUAAAAGUUACAUUCGUUUUAUCUAAUACAUAUAAAAUAUUCAAAACAAAAGCAAUGUUCGUUAAUUUUGGGAUUCGGAGAGUCAUGCUCCUAACUUACGGAGUACUAUGACAUCUCCAUAGAACUGAAGUAAUCGAAUAGCCUACUUAAAAUAACAAAAAAGAAAAUUUAGGUAACAAUCAAAUAAUGUUUAUUCUGGUUUUCGAGAAUUCGAAGGAUCGUGUCUUAACUUACGAAAUAUAAUCUUUCCUUCUCGAUUAACUCGAAAUAAGGUCAUUUUCCAUAAAACUUAAUUUAUUUAAGUAAUUUUAAUUAAAAAUAACAUCAUGCAAAGUGAGAUCAUGUUUUUUGAUUUUUUUAAAUUUUUAAUUCUCGACACUAAGACAUCAAGUAAUCAACUAGGUACCAAUUUUAGGUGUCACGAGGGUGCUAAUCCUUCCUCGUGCGUAACCGACUCCCGAACCCAUUUCCUGAAUUUUGUAGACCAAAACUCGUUGUUUUAGUAAAUUAAACUGUUUAUUAAAACGAUCAAAUUAUCAGGUGAUCUGAUCACACCUCAUAAAAAGGAUUAGUGGCGACUCCCAUUUUAGUUUUCAGAAAAAUAAAAAAUAGAUUUAAAAAAAAAAGUUUUGACAGUAUAAAUAAAUAUCGUGGUUAAUCAUGAAAUUGAAAUGUAAAGAAAAUGCUCUUGAAAAUUUUAAUGUUGAAAAUGAUAUGUUUGUGUAAUAUUAAAUUAGUAAUUGAAAUGAAAAAAAAGGUGAAUGGUUUAUUUUUCACUAAAACAAAGUAAUUGAACUACAUUAUUUUUUAUCUGUUAAGUGGUGGAUCCAUGACAAUGAUGGGGUUUAUUUUCCACUCAAACAAAACACAAAUUUGAGGCAGCAGGUAGUGAGUAAAGAAAACGUAAAAGAAAAAUAGUUGGUGAAAUAAUCAAAUUAUUCUUAUUUUUUGGCUUAAUGAUAAAUUUGACUACUAAUUUGAUAAAUUUAAUAUAUGUUUGUUUAUUAAGAGGUUUUAAAAAGAUAAUUAAUAAAUCAAAUUGAAAAUAUUGAAUCUAUGCAUUCAUUUUGAAAUCUUUUUUAGAUAAUUACAUCUAUUCUCUUUAAAUUAAGAGUUAUUUUUUUUAAUUUUAUGUAUGAUUUAUUUAUUUAAUUAUUUUUCACAUGUAAUUAUCUUAUUAGGUUAUCUAAAUAAUAAAUUACAUCCCAUUAAAAAUAUUUCAAAUAUAAAAUUUUACAUCAUCUCCUUAAAUUUUUUUAUGAUACUUUCAUUAAAUAUAUUAAAAAAAUAAUUUAAAAAAAUAAAUAUUUAUGACAAAAAAACUCAAAAAUACAAUUAAAAUUAUUUUUUAAAAACAUGUAAAGUUAGUGACGAAGUUCAUCAUUAUUUUUCUUUUUUAAAGAAAAUCAGAUGAUGCUCUAAUUGAAGCAGCAGGCAUUGAUACUCCCAAGGCUCAGCCAAAUGAUCAUGUUUGUUUUCGGAAAAGAUAGGUCAAAUUUGGUGUGCUUCCCGACAAUUGACACGUUAACCCAGGAGGCCACCUACUGGAAAAUACUGGUUUUUAAUAUCCAAUAAUUUCAUCUACUCUCUAUUUUAAAUAUGGAGUCUCCAGUUUCAUUUUUCAAAUAACUUUCCAAGACUUGCCACACCAGAAAGUCCAUAGAAACAGGAAAAAGAAAUGGAGGAACAACAGAAAUCCAGUCAUGUGGUGCUUGUUAUGGUAACCUUUCAAGGCCACAUAAAUGCCGCUCUCCAGCUAGCUACUAUCUUGCACUCAAAGGGCUUCUCAAUCACUAUAGUUCACCUUGAAUUGAACUCUCCUAAGCCUUCAAACUACCCCGAAUUCACCUUCGUAUCCAUACCAGAUAAUCUCACGGAAUCUCAACUCUCAGAUAAAGAUAUUCCAGGUCUUGUGAGGAGUGUCAACAAAAACUGUGCAGCACCAUUACAGCGAUGCCUCGAAAAGAUCUUGCACUCUCAUCACCAUAUCUCUGCUGUCAUCUAUGAUUCAUUCAUGUUUUGUGCUCAACCUAUAGUCGACGAUUUGGGGCUACCCGGGGUAACUCUGUGUACACAUUCUGCUCUAGGAUUGCUAUUCUAUCAUGUCUUUCCUCAACUUAAUGAGAAAGGUAUACCCCUUUAACAUUUGGUUGCAACGAGUUCUAUACAUGAUGAUCAUACAAAAUUUGUCUGUAAUAUUGUAACUAUUUGAAUCCAGUAAAAAUUCCAAGUGACAGUUAAUACCCUAAACUCUUUAAGUUUGUGUUGCAGAUUGUAUAUCUGGACUUGAAUCACCAGAGCUUCAAGCUCUUCAGCUUCAAGGCUUUCAUGCAUUAUCAUCACAGAAUCCGACUGAAGCAGGGCUGGAGGUGGGAGCUGCAUUCGCAAAUGCGUUGAAGAGCUCAUCAGCUAUAAUUGUGAACUCAAUGGAAUUUUUAGAACUAGAAGUACUGUCAAAGAUCAAACAAUACUUACCUACUCCAAUUUUCAUCGUAGGACCAUUACACAAAUUAGCUCCAACCAUGUGCAACUCAUUAUGUACUGAGGACAAUAAAUGCAUCUCUUGGCUUAACAAACAAGCCCCCAAAUCUGUCAUCUAUGUGAGCUUUGGUAGCAUUGCCAAUAUUGAUAAGCAAGAACUAAUUGAGACAGCUUGGGGACUAUCCAACAGUAAACAACCCUUCCUGUGGGUGUUUAGGCCUAGUAUGGAUCGUGGCUCAGAAUGGACUGAAUCAUUGCUAAAUGAGUUGGAAGAGAGUGUGGGAGAAAGAGGUUUCAUUGUGAAAUGGGCACCUCAAAAGGAAGUGUUGGCUCACGCUGCAGUGGGUGGAUUUUGGAGUCACUGUGGGUGGAAUUCAACCAUUGAGAGUAUUUGUGAAGGGGUACCGAUGUUAUGCAGACCUUUCUUUGGAGACCAAAUCUUGAACGCAUGUUACAUCUGUAACGUUUGGAAAAUAGGCUUGGAAUUGCAGAAUCAGGAAAGAGGGAAUAUAGAAAGAACAAUAAAAAGACUAAUGGUUGAUAUGGAAGGAAAUUAUAUCAGAAAGAGAGCUAUGGAUUUGAAGGAGAAAGCUGCUUUUUAUCUAAUGGAGGAUGGUUCUACAAGCUGUUCUUUCGAUGGGCUAGCAAAACAUAUAUCAUCAGUUUAAGAGACAUGAAAUUAAACAUCCUUGUAGUUGUACUUUCAAUUUAUCGUAUGACAUUGUGAUUUGUGUAAUUCGUAUCUACAAAAAGGGCAAACAUUUGUAUAAUAAAGAAUGAUUUGUUAAACAUUUUUUUCAUGUCUUUAUCUGUUUUUGUGGUUUAUGAUUAGUUUUGUUCAAGUCGAAAGCGGUAUUUAGAUAAAACCUUCUAAACAAUAAUGAACUUAGGUGUGAUACCUUAUACCUAGAGGUGAUCAUGGGUUGGGCCGGGCUAAAUUUGGGCCGAGCCUAGACAAAAUUUUAGGCCCGUUUCCUAGGCCCGGGUCCGGCCCAAAAUAUGAGCCUAUAAAUUUAUCCAAGCCCAACCUGAAAGAAAAUUGCUAAGCUCGACCCUAGCCCGACCCGACCCAUAUUAAAUAUAUAUUUAAUAUAUAGUUCGGGCCGGGCCGGGGCCAAAAAAGUUUUACCCGAGGCCCAGCCUAUUUUCUAAACGGGCCUCGUUUUUUGCCCAAACCCAUAUUUCGGGUCCAUAUUUUUACCCGAACCCUCCUAUUUUUCGGGCGUGCUGUCGGGCCAGGCAGGGACGGGUAGCCCAACCCAUGAUCACCUCUACUUAUACCCAACCCAGUUGUUGGAUCUGAAUAUAAAAUGUCACAUUUCGUUGCCGAAGCAACUCUAAUGGUCACUAAACCAACUAUAAUUACGACAAACGCAAGUGCACCUAUCGAACAAUAGUAUAGCUAUGGUGAGUAAAGAAUAUCAUAUCCACGAGGACAAAAAGUACUAGUAAUUACUGUUUUUCUAUUAUUUAGCCGAUAAAUUGAAGUGAUUGUUUUUAAUCUAAAUUUACUAAUCUAAUUUAACUACGAACGCAACAGAGAAUGAAAUGGGAAAAUAAUCGAAGACAACCAAUGAGAAAGACAAUACCCAUGAAACAAUCCACAUAGACUUCACCUAUUAUUAUGAAUCUAAAUUAAACGAUUUAUUCACUUGUGUCUUGAUCUGUAGAAAUCCCUCAAUUAUGUUAAUAUCUUUUUUGAGAGUAUGAACAACUAACUCUAGGUUGAUUAAUUGAAAUCACUUUCUAAUUAAAAUCCAUAUUGUCGCAUUAACUUUAUCUAUGAAUUCUCCUAUUAGAUUUGACUCUAAUUCGGUAGAUUUAUGUCGUCCUAUUUCUAGGAUUGCAUGUAUUAGAUCUACUCUUAAACAGAGACUUUUACUCCACUGAAAUAAGCACAUUAAACAUGAAUUAAUAUCUUAAAAAUAUUAAAACAUGAAAUACGCAUACAUAAUUGAGAACAAGAAUCAAAUAUUUAUCACGUAAAAAUAGAAAUUAAAUAAUAAGAUUCAUCAUAGGUUUCAUCCUCCCUAGGUAUCUAGGGAAUUUAGUUCAUAAUCCCGAAUGAAAAUAUCUCAAAGUCAGAAUAACCACAAUAUAUAAAGAAACUCAAUAAAACUUUGAAAGAAAUUAAAUGGAGAUCUUCGAUCUUGAGGGAGAUCCGCUUUCGAGUUGAUUCCGAUGGCGUUCUUCGAGUCAUUUCUUCGAUCUUCUCUCAGUGCUCCCUUAGAUCUUCUUCUAAUUGAUAUUUAUAGACUUUAAAAUGCUCAAAAAGUCUAAAAAUUAGAUUUUUCCACGUAUUUGGGAAACAGGGUGCGAUAUCGACAUGGGCGUGUGGCCAGCUCGUGUGAAAAUGCACAGGCCGUGUGGACCCUAGAAAUAGCUCUAUUUGCUCGAUUUUGGCUCGUUUUUUGCUCAUUUCGCUCCCAAAUACUCUCCUAAGUAUAGAAACAUGAAUUUAAAGGAUUAGGAGCAUCAAAUUCACUAAUUUACAUAAUUAAUCAUCCAAAAACGCAUUAAGAAUGAAAUUAAAAUGUUACUUUUAUGACUUAUCAAACUCACUUUUUUAUUGUUUUUUUUUCUGAAAAGGAAACGUAGUGGUAAAAUUAUUUUAUAAAAAUUUUGGCAGUAUUUUUGCCUAUUUUACAUGAAACCCCCUGCAAAUUUUAGAUUUUCACAAAAUAUCUACAUUCAAAUUAUCUCACACAUCAAUUCUCAGCACUAUGAUUUCUCAAAGCAUAUCAAUAAACUAGAUUUCGACGCUUUACUAUUUUAUCAAAACAUUAGUUAUAAAAUACUAGUUAAUAAAACAUAAUGAAAAUAUUUAAAUUCAGUUUACGGCAUAAUAUUAUAUAUAUAUAAGCUUAGGUACAUGUCAUUUACAUCAACUACAAAGUAAACUCUUCACCAACAUUGUUUGAGCUGAACUUCGGUUCUUCAGAUGUUGCUGGAAUAAUCUAGUAAAUCUAACUACCUGCACACGGGAAAAUAGACAAACUGUACGCUGAGCAAUUUUUAUGCUCAUUGGUGCUAAUAUCAUAUAAAUCAAUACAUAAAAAUUGAACACAAAUUAAUUCAUAGAAAUAAACUAAAACAUGAUUAUAAAUAUCAUUAAUAACAUCUCAAUAAAAGAAAAUUUUAAAAUUAAUAAACUUUAAUAUUUUAAUAUUGACAAAUCAAAUAAAGAAAAUAAGUUUUUUAAUUAAAUUCAAAAUCGUGUAAUUAAUUUAAUUUGCACAAUAUGGAAAUUCAAAUAAAUUCAAGUUUUAUUUUUGCUUUUCUUUCAAUUUGGAACCCAUACUAAAGUUUAGACUCAUAACCAGAUACACAAAUAUACCACCCUGAGUUGUUCGGCAACGAUGGCUAUCAGAGUAGUCCACAACCCUCUAGGAAUUGGGAUUGCCCACGACCCUCUGGGAAUUUGGGCUAACAAUAAUAGCAACUGGCCGACUUGACCUUUUCUCCCUCGACCCUCUGGUAAUUAGGGAGAUCUAAAUUCUUUGAUAUAAAGACUCCAUGACAUGCCAAUUAUAUCUGAUUUAGUCUAACUUAGUGAAAGGGGUAAAAACCAAAUUUCAUGAUCCAUUUCAAUUUCAUUUUCAUAUAAUUCUCAAUUCAAUUCCAUUUCAUGUUCAAAUCACAUAUCACCUAUUGUAAAAUUAGGCUUCCAAUUUAAAACAUAUUAAUCAUUUUCUUGCUCAAUCAUCUAAAAUCAUAAUACUCAAAUCUAAAUCAUAACCAUGAAUUUGCUAAUUUGAUCGAUGUUCGCUUCAUUUUUAGCUACAAUAGAAACAACUCAAUACGAAACAACAUCAUUUAUCCAUUCUAAAACUAAAACUACUAAAAACAAACUUAAUUAUGCAUGAUUAUUCAUAUUGGCAACUUAAGUUUUUUAGUCCAAAAUUCGCAUAUCUUUGAACUCGAUUAUCUGUUUUCAAUUCCGUCUUUACCAGAGUACUCGCUGCUUCACAAGCUAUCAUUUAGCACCAAUAUUACACAAAGUGGCCAAUGUUCUCUACUUCCCCUUUAACAUGGCCAAAUAUACCAAAUAAAAUUUCCAUCCAUUUUUAUUUCUUUUUCACACUUCUAACAAGCUAGAACUCAUCUUCUAAUCAUUUCCUAUCUAAAAAUAUAUCUAUUUCACUUAAGUUUUCUAUGCUUCCAUCAAUGUUCUUUAAUGGCAACUUUCAAAAUACUUGAUAAAAAAAAAAACCUAUUGGUAAAUAUAUGUAAAGCAAGCUUCAAGGAUUCAAAAUCUAAAAAAAUUUGAAAAAAAUCAUAACUUAUAUUUAAAUUUGAUGGAAAAUAAUGGAAGCAAUUUUUUUUUCUUUCCCCCCUUUAUUUGACGUGAAAAAGAAAGGAAGAUGAGAAAGAUGUUAUCUUUCUCUCUUUUUUUUCUUUUUCAUAUAUUAUAAUAUUAAUUAUUAAAAUAUUAUUACUUCAUAAAAAAAUCAUUUAAAAGUCAUCAUGAAACUAUUGAUUUUUUUUAAGUAAUGGUAAAAUUGUCAUUAAGUCUUUUCCAUCAAAAUAAAAUAGGAUAAUUGUACUUUAGUCUAUACUUUUCUAACUUAUUCAAUUUAAUCUCUAAACACGAUACCGAAUUUUUAACUUAACCACAUACUCCUACUAAUAAUCUUCUGUGUUUUCAUGUCUGACAAUUUUCUCUAAAAACGAUUAUAAUUUCUUAUACUACUAUUUAUUUAUAGAUAAUUUAUUCAAGAACUUUUACCAUAAAUAUUCUUCUUCUCUUUUUGUUUUCUUUUUUUUUUUAAAGUGGGAGUAUUACAUUAAGACUCUAACUUAGUUCAAAUGUUUGGGAUAAAAUCCACUUCUAUCUUCUAUUCACUUCUUGAUUUUAUUUAGAUAUUUUACAUUAGAGUUAAAUGCACAAUAUAUCCAAGCUAGACCUCUAUUUUACAUUUUAAACGAUUUUUUAUUUGAAUAAUGCAAAAGUGAAAUACCAAAAUAGGUUUACGGGGAAGUUAAUCCGUAGAAUAGUAUUUUUCUUUUUGGAUAGGUACCUCGGCACCAAACGAUGUCAAGUUCCAUAAUACGUCUUGCACCAACAAAUUUAUCGAGAGCUGUUCAAAUUAGGGUAAUGAUUAUAGAAUAUUUAUUUGGACCUUGACACCUAUAAGUGUCGUGGUCUUUGUAAAAUUUUUAAAAUUUUAAAUUAUAAUUAUUUAUGUAUUUUGUAACAUAUAAUAUUUAAAAAGAUCUCGACAUUCAUAUAUAUUGAGGUCAUAGUAAAUUAGUUAAAAAUAUUGAUCUUAAUCUGUAAAUGACUUUUUUAAUAAAUUUUAAAAAUUUAAAUUGAUCUCACCACUUAUAAGUGUUAAGGUUGUAUUAAAAACCCUAAUGAAAUCUAAAAAAAUGAUUAAGGGAGUUUUUGAUAAACUGAAAAUUUAAGUAUUAAAAAAUUAAGUAUUGAAUUUUUUAUUGUUAAAUUUUAUAAGUGUUGAAUUUAUAUUAGAAAAUUGUUUGUUACAUUAGUAAAUUUAAGUAUUGAAUAUAAUUAUGUUGUUUGAUAAAAGUAAAUAUUGAUUUUUAAAAGAUUACUUAUUUUAAUUUAAUCUUAUUAAUAUUAUAUUUAUAUUAUUUUCAAUAGUUUUGGAUGAAAUAUAAAUAUCUUAAUUUGAAUAUCUCAUUUUUUUCAAAAAAGGUAUAAUUUAUUUCAAUUUUUAAUAAAAUAAAAUCAAUUUAAUAUUUUUGCCACGUAUCGACGACUUGUUUGAUCAACUGAAAGGUGCUGCGAUGUUUUCGAAGAUAGACCUUAGAUUCUGGUAUUAUAAUUUGAAGGUUAAAGAGUGUGAUGUGCCAAAGACUGCUUUCAGAACUCGGUGAGGUCAUUACGAAUUUUUGGUAAUGCCAUUCAGUUUGACCAAUGCCCCUGCUGCUUUCAUGGAUUUAAUGAAUCAGAUUUUCCAAUCUUAUUUGGAUAGAAUUGUAGUUGUGUAUAUUGAUGAAAUACUAAUCUAUUCCAAGAUAGAAUCUGAACUUGCACAACACUUGAGGAUUGUGCUACAGACUUUGAGAGAAAAACAGUUGUAUGCGAAGUUUAGCAAAAGUGAAUUUUGGCUACACGAGGCCGGAUUUCUAGGUUACAUUGUAUUAUCCAAAGGGAUUCGAGUUGAUCCGAGCAAAGUAUCUGCAGUGGUAAAUUGAAAAAAUUCGAAGAAUGUUUCAGAAGUGCGAAGUUUUCCAGGUUUAACAGGUUAUUACUGACAUUUCGUCAAAAACUUUUCAAUGAUUGCUUCGCCGUUGACCCGAUUAUUACAGAAAAAUGUUGAAUUUGUUUGGUCCGAUGAGUGUCAGCAAAGCUUUGAUCAAUUAAAGAAAAUGUUUAUAGAAGCUCAGGUUUUGACUCAGCUAGAAUUAGGUGUACCAUAUGUUGUUUACAGUGAUGCAUCUCUAAAUGGUUUGGGUUGUGUACUGAUGCAGUCAGGAAAGGUAGUGUCCUAUGCUUCUCGACAAUUAAAGCUACACGAGAAGAUUUAUCCUACACACGAUCUUGAGUUGGCUGCAAUCGUAUUCACUUUGAAGAUUUGGAGACAUUAUUUAUACGAUGAGAAAUGUUACUUGUUUACGGAUCAUAAAAGUUUGAAGUAUUUGAUGACUCAGAAAGAGCUGAAUUUGAGAUAGAGACGGUGGUUAGAAUUGCUAAAAGAUUAUGAUCUGGUUAUUAACUACCACCAGGGAAAGGCUAAUGUGGUUGCGGAUGCACUUAGUCAAAAUUCGUCACUGUUUGCACUUUGAGCGUUGAACGCUUAUUUAUCUCUUAGUGAAGAUGGUUCUGUAUUAGCAAAAUUGAGAAUGAAACCUCUAUUUCUUCAACGAAUUCGAGAAUUGCAAGAUGAUGAUCCAAAAUUGGAGUUGGAACGGCAGAUGGUUCAGGACAAUCUGAGUUCAGAGUAUAGCAUUGAUGAUAGUGGCAUGUUACGUUAUCGUAAUAGAAUUUGUGUUCUGAAUAAUUUGAAUUUGAAAAAUGAUAUUCUUUCUGAAGUUUAUAGUAGUAUGUACUCUAUUCAUCUGGGUACUACGAAAAUGUAUAGUGAUUUGAAACGAAUGUAUUGGUGGCCGAGUAUGAAAUGGGAAAUUUGUGAAUUCAUAGCUAAAUGUUUGAUUUGUCAGCAAGUGAAAGUAGAACAUCAGGUACCAAUGGGUUUAUUACAACCAGUCAUGAUUCCUGAAUGAAAGUGGGAACAUAUCACGAUGGAUUUUGUAUCCGGUCUACCUAUGACUCUGAGAAAGAAAGAUUCGAUCUAGGUGAUUGUUGAUAGAUUGACUAAGUCGGCACAUUUUGUCCCAGUCAGAACAGACUUUUCACUUGAGAAGUUAGCAGAAUUGUAUAUAGCAGAGAUUGUGAGGUUACAUGGGGUUCCAACAUCUAUCAUUUUAGAUCGAGAUCCAAGAUUUACAUCGAGAUUUUGGAUUAAACUACAAAAAUAUCUGAGCAUUAAGUUAACGUUUCAUCCUCAAACCGACAGACAAUCAGAAUGAGUGAUUCAGAUUCUAGAGGAUAUGUUGAGAUGUUGUAUACUCAAAUUUGAAGGUAGCUGGGAAAGAUAUUUACCAUCGGUUGAAUUUUCAUAUAACAACAAUUAUAAACCCAGUAUAAAAAUGGCACCGUUAGAAGCUCUUUAUGGGUGGAAAUGUAAGACGCCAUUGUAUUGGUCUGAAUUGAGUGAAUCCAAACUAGUAAGAGUUUAUUUGAUCUGAGAAACUGAAGACAAAGUUCAGAUUAUCCUGGACAGUUUGAAAGCUGCUUCUGACCAUCAAAAAUCGUAUGUAGAUUUGAAAAGAAGAGAUAUAGAAUUUGUGGUUGGUGAUCGGGUAUUCUUAAAAGUUUCUCCAUUGAAGAAGGUUUUACGAUUCAGUAGGAAAGGGAAACUGAGCCAAAGAUUUAUUGGACUAUAUGAAAUUGUUGAAAGAAUCGGCCUUAUGGCUUAUCGUUUAGCUCUACCUCUGAAACUUGAGAAAAUUCAUAAUGUGUUUCAUGUACAGAUGCUGAGACGGUACAGAUCUGAUCUUUCACACGUGAUUCCUCAUAGUGAGAUUGAGCUGCAACCAGAUAUGCAGUAUUUGGAAGAACCGGUGAGAAUUUUGGCUCAAAAGGUUAAAGAAUUGUGAAAUAAACAAGUAUUGUUAGCAAAAGUUUUGUAGCAUCAUCAUGGUUUGGAGGAGGCUACUUGGGAAACAGAAUAAUAUAUGAGAUCAAAUUAUCUGAACCUAUUCCCAGUUAACAAAUUUCGAGGAUGAAAUUUCUUAAAGGGGCGAGAGUUGUAACAACCUAAUUUUUAGUGGUGUCAGAAACAGUGGUUUGAGACCGCUAAAUUCGACGAGUGAGCUCAUAAAUUUUAUUAUUUAGUAUUUACGAGUCAAAUGUGAUUUUAGAAAGAUUUUGAAUUAGUAAUUUAUGUUUUAUAAGGAUUUAUUAGGUUAAAUGGUUUAGAAAAUGAGGUAUCAAGACCCUGAUUUUAAAAACUGAGCCGUAAAUAUUUUUACAAAUAUUUAGGGAGUGUAAUUAAAGUAGUAUUAAAUUUUCGUUAGAAAAUUUUAACGUUUUGAUAGUUAAUUAAUUAAAAAGGACUAAAUUGAAAAAUGUGAAAAACUUGCUAAUUAGGAAAUUUCGAUUAAAUAGUAUAAAUAGUAAAUAAGGGAGGACUAAAAGGGCAAUUAGACACACAUGAAAUGGUUGGGCGACAUGAGUGUAGGAAAUAAAUAAUGAAAUAAUGUUAACUAAGGGUAAAAUUGUAAAUUUUGUAAAAUUAAACAAAUAAAAUAGCAAUUAAAGGAUUUUCUAGACAUUUAUUCAUCAAUAUUCUGCCAAAAAUGGCUAUAGGAGAGCUCCUAAAGCUAGUUUUUCAUAGUUACUUCAAGUGAGUUCAAUUCUUGUUUAUUUCUUGCAAUUUUUCUGUUUUUAAGACUUUUGCAAUUAGGUCCAACUAUCUAUUUCAAUAGUUUUUUAUUUUAUUGGAAAUUUUGGAAGUUACCAUUGAUGAAUAUAGGAUGUAUUAGGUGAAUAAACAUGGAUUUAGAGCUUUAAUUUUGUUGUAUGAUAAUUUUAUAAAGUGAUUUUGAUAGUCUAGAAUAUUAGGGUUUGGUAUUGAAAUUCUGAAUAUCAAGAGCUGUAUAAUAGUCUAGAAUAUUUAGGUAAGUUAUCAAUUAAGAAAAAUUAGCUCAUUUGAUAGACAAAUUAGUAAGGGACUAAAUUGCAAAAAUUAUAAAAGUUGGGGUAAUUGUGUAAAUCUAAAAAUUAAAGGGUAUUAAUUAUGAAGUGAAUUGGAACUUAAAUAUAUACUAAUGAAUGAAUACUUUAUAUUUUAGAUCAAGAAGCCGUAGAUACUCGUGAAAAAGAGAAAUUAGCAGAAUAGUCCCUAAACUUCUACAAAUCAUACAAUUUAACCCAAGUAAGUUCGUAUGGUUAAACUUUAAUAAUUAUAUUUAAUUGAUGUAUGAUAUUAUGUAUUUAGUAUAUUGUUGAAAAAUGGAAUAUUGUUAAAUUAUGAAUUUUAAGUGAAUAUCCGAUUUAAAAGGAAUGCGGGAUUGAGUACAAUUGUUAUGUGGAGCAAAGGAAGAAUUUACAGCAAAUUACCCAAGUAAAUCGAUGUUCAGUAUUUGUUGCGAACUUUCAUGUUUACUUUCUGUUUAACUCUCACGAGCUUCUGUUUAACUCAUUCGAGUUUCCGUUCAACCCUAAUGAGUUUCCGUUCAGCUCUUUUGAGCUUCUGUUUAACCUUUAUGGGUUUUUGUUCAGUUCUAAUGAGCUUCCGUUCAACCCUUUUAUAUUUAACCUAUCAAACUUACUAAGCUUCAUAAAGCUUACUUGUGUUGUUUAGUGCUCUUGUAGAUGAUGGGUGUCGAUUCCACCAAUAUAAACCUACGUCUAAUUUACAAUUCUAAGCAGUAUAGGGAGUAGGGUCGAUCCCUCAGAGACUGGGUAUACUAAAAAUUGUUUCUCUUUCUCGACCAGAUUCGUGUCUGGGCAGUUGUCGUGCCCAAGAAAUUUGGGGGAGGAUAAAUUUGAAAACCUAGAACCUGAAAUAAACAGGGAAAAAAAUGCGUGAAAGGUAAAAGCUGAAAAUAAAAUAAUAAAAAUAGUUAAAUAAAUCUAAAGAAAAACUAAUUAAACUAAGCUCAGCUUUAGGCACGGAUUCUUCCUCGUCUUUGAACCGGUCCUCAAAAUUAGAUGAACUCCUUUUUUCCAAUAAGCUAGUUAUAGCUACCAAGGACGCCUCGGACACCAACUCUUCCUUGUGUAAAUUAGUUAUGGAACAUCCUAUAACUAACCCUUACCGAUCGAACAACCAACGAAACGAGGCUAAUUCUGACCUAAAGCUGAAAAUGGAUUUAGUUAACUAAAGUUUGGGGCAUAUUGGAGUUGGAUAAAUUAAAUAAGGUAAAAAUAGGUGAAAAGAAUGGGUGGCGUGAUUAAGUAUGGGGGCUGGAAUUUUGGUAGUGUAUUUAAAGUGGGAUGGUUAGCUACUGGAAAUGAAAAGGAAGUUUAAAAAAAAAGAAAUUGUAAAUGGUUUAAGUUGGUGACAAACUAGAAAUUAAUAAACUGAAGAAAAAGAAACUAAAAACAACAAAUAGCUUUGUGAGAAUGAAGAAGAGAUUGCAUUCAAAGAUGAAAGCUUGAUUUAUGACUUGAUGAAUAAAUGAACAAUGUAGCCCACUAGUUAUACUAGUGGCUUUGCUAAAUUAAGAGCCACUAGCCAUAGAAAAUCAAGGAAAUAAAAUAUUCCAUGAUAAAAAAUCCCUACAUAAUCUCCCACUAAGUCAACAAAAAUUUCAGCUAAUUAUAUCUUAGAAAAAAUUUUGCUUUGGCCCUCCUUCUUUGCUUCUUUCUUCAAUCUAACCCAAUUGUUUCCUUUUUAUUCUAUUUAGCCACAAAUUGCACCCCUGCACAAAAUUCAACAUAAAUAUGGAAAAAUCAGUGGUGCACUCUCAUAAAUUAACCAAUUUAAUUACAUAAAAUAUGUAAUUUUAGCAUUUAAUCAAAUCCCCCUACUUAGCUUAUGCUAGUCCUCGAGCAUUUUGUAUGUAUCUGCAAAAGGAAAAAUUUUCUCCAAAAUAGGACUUGACCUCUAUGGUUUGCACAAUUCAACAAUUUAAUCCUAGCACAUUAACAUCUCAAAUAGCCUAGCCUAAGAAGUAAGUAAAUAUAUUUCGGAAUUUAUUAGAGCUUGAUAGGCCUACCCCUAAUUUAUUUUUAAUAAUAAUAAUAAUAAUAAUAAUUUUUUGUGUACUUAGGACAUUUUCAAAUUUUUUUAUGCGAGACACGAUGACAACCCAAGCACCAUGUUCCGGUUACUCGAUUCGGAUGUCUCUAAGUGGGUUAUUUCACCCUACUCGUGAUAGCUUGUUAGAGGAGUAAGUGCAAGAAAUUGUACAGCCACACGAACCUUUUUACGCGAGAUGUGAUGACAACCCAAGCACCAUGUUUCGGUUACUCGGCCGAUGUACAACCCCAAUUUUUCACUCUUAACAUUCGUAUCAGAGGAGUAUUAUUAUUUAUUCAUGUCUUCUUCUUUUUUUGACUUAAUAAAGGCAGAAAAUUGACAUGUUGUAUAAGGUAGGCAAUCAAGCAAACUCAUAAUUCCUAAAAAUUUCUUACCCACUAAGUCUAGGUUAUUGAAAAGUUUUAUGUGUAAAGAACUAAAUAGCUAAAUAGGAUAAACCAUAAAUGUACCAUCCCAAUUUAUCAAAAGAAAAAUUUUACCUUUCACGAAAAAUGUGCAAAAACAGCGACAACAGAUAAGCAAAUUAGAACCAAUUUAUAUUUCCCUCCCUCUACUUAUUUUACAUUGUCCCAAUGUAAUUUAAAUUAUUUAAAGGAUAAAAAGUAAAAGUAAGUAGGGAAAGGAAAAAUUAACUCCCCAUGUAUUUCAACGUCGUGGAGGGUGGUCUCGUAGGUGUGUGAGAACGUCUGUCACCAAGGUGCAUAAAGAUUCGAGUCCUUCCUCGAUUCGGGUCAAUCGAGAUUUGACAGAAGUUUGAGGCUCUGUUUCGUGUUGGUGUCUACGUCGGAACACUCUAUUCGACCGACUCGUUCUCGUACCUGGAGGAACAAAAUAAAAAGAAGAAGGGGUACCGACAAGUAACCCAUAGAAUCCAAGUAGUAUGUAUCUAAAGAGUUCGUUUUGUAUGCCAGAUUCGAAGAACUAAAUUUGAUAGCUGAUGGAUUCAAAUUGGAGGCUAAACGUGUAAUGUAAGUGCCCAAAAUUAGUGGUCUAUUCGACCGCAAAACAUGCUGAAACUGUAUAGCAAACCAAUAUCCUAAAUUUACCUUCCUUCCCGAAUAGAUGCACCAUAGAAAAAAUAAUUCAGUCCUAGUUAAAGAGGUAGACAUAUCAUUACGUCCCGAAAAAAUGAAAGCAAGGAAUCGGUGUAAAUAUCGAAGUGUAGGACUAUGAAUUCCUAUGUCCUUGUAACGUUUCGGAUCAUACAAAAUCUGUCUCAUUUCAGUUAACAAUGCUAAAGCUUCAUUAGCAUCAAAGUCAUGUGGUAUGUCGAGAAAUGAGUCAUAAUAGUGAUCAGUUGCUAAAUAGUCCUCACUAACGAACCCCAAAGCAACAUUGAACUCAGAAAUUGACAGAUUAUAUUGCACUCCUAACAAUCGAAAAUUGACAGCAUGAGGCGUAUCUACGGUGUUAGCAGAACGGUAGAAGUAAAAUGUUGAAUAAAAUUCAAAAAUCAACUCAUAAUAUGCAGGUUCAUCAAUGGCAGCAAAAUCAGUCCACCCAAUAGCAUCAAAAUAUUGAUUAAUAGAUUCUUCAAUUUCUAAAUAGUAUAAUGAGAAUGUGUCUACAUGCUUAGAUAUUGGAAGAAGGCGAUGUUGGAUUUGUUCGAAUUGUGCUCGGUGCGCCGGGUUUGUGAAUGUUACAUUCCCGUGGAAUCUCUUCUCUGGAGGCAUGAAUCCUCUUCCUUGUCAAAAUUGACCUCGCUCACGUGGGUGAUACUCAGUGUCCUAAUUUUUCAUUUCAUUUUCGCAAUAUUCGACAUCAUCUACCGAUAGAGUUGAUGAGCCGUCCAAAGGUGGUUGUUGGCGACCUCGGGUUCGUCUUUGCGUUGAAUGUGGUUCAGCACCAUCGUUUGGGGGUCGUGAAAUUCUUCUCGAAGGCCUCGGUUGUGUUGGUUGAUGUGCAUGGACGUUUAGUUGGAGGGAUAGGCGGUAUUGGUUGUCGAAUGAGUUUGGUGGUUCGACCGGGCUAUUUGGAGGAUGGUCGACUGAAACGAGCGGCUCAUGGGGCGGGUAGACUACGGUGAUCAGAGUUAGCCUGCAAUUUCUCCUAGGACGGUGCGGUUGCGGCGGCGGGGAGAGAGGAGACUCGUCAGAGUGGAUGGUGAUGAAGGGUGGGGUGGUGAACCUGUUUCGUCGUCUGUUUAUUAUGGACGGCGGUUCAUGCAUCGCGCGGUCGCGGGUGCGGACCAUGGUUUGGUGGUGGAUGGUGGUGAGUAGUGGUGAAAAAGAAAGGGGUUUAUGAAGAGAAAAAGAAAUUUUGAAAAAGGUUUUAGUGAGAAACAUUCGGCUGGUCAAAAUGGGGGUAGUGGGGUUGGUUUUUCCUAGGUGAAAAAUAGGUGAUGGUUAUGAUUUGAUCGGUGAGGGUUUUUUUUUUAAUUUGAAAAGGGGUAGACAGCUGGGGAGAGAGGGAUGAGUUAAAACGGGUUAUGGGGUUGUAGUUUUCUAGGUGAAAAGAUGGAUGUAAUAGGUGAAAGAUUAGGAUUUUAUAGGUGAAAGGCUGAUGGGUGUAGGGUUUUUUUUAUUUGAAAAGGGUUGGACGGUUGGGGGUAAAAAUUUUGGGUUUUAAUUUUUCAUUUUUGAUUUUGGGUAGGUAUGAUGGGUUUGGGUUUUGGUUAAUGGGUUAGCUUGGAUAUUGGAUUGAUUUAAAUGGUGGGUAGGUAGAGUGGGCCUUGGCUGAAAUAAAAAGAAUUUUUGUGGGCUGACAUGUUGGAAUGUGUACCUGCAAAAUAAAAGUAAAUAUGUAAAUGAAAAUAAAUAUAUAUAAAAAUUAAAGUUAAAAUAAAAAUAAUUUAAAUUUAAAUUUAAAAUGUGUAUUUCUUGAAUAUAUAGCUUUGCUAAUGCUAUGCUUAAAUAUUCGAAAUAAAUUAUUAAAAACCAAGAUUAUGGGAUUUAGUAAAAUAGUCGAGAUAAAUGCACUAGGUAAGUUCUCAGGAAAGAGAGGUGAGUCACAAUGGACAUUCUUAAGUACUAAGUCUUUCCUUAGACAGAACCGAUCCUCGACAUGCAUUUUCACUUCCAUUUUACCUUCUAAAAAAAUUUAUUUGCUUAAAGGAAAAAUUUGGGUUGCCUCCCAAUAGCGCUUUGUUUAACAUCGUUAGCUUGACGACCUGUUAUUCAAAUUCUGGGCUCCUCGAGAGCAAUCUCCUCAACUGUGUGCAUUUGAAAAUUCUCGUAAAAAGGUUUCAGUUGUUGACCAUUCACCUUAAAGCACUUCCGGGUUUCUUCGCUUUGAAUUUCCACUGCACCAUUUGAGAAUAAAUUAGGAAUAGUAAAUGGACCUAUCCAUUUGGAUCGAAGCUUACCAGCGAAAAUUUUUAAGGUGGAGUCGUAUAGGAGAACUUUUUGUCCUGUUGAAAAUUGCUUCCUAGUGAUCAACUUAUCAUGAAAUGCCUUCUUCUUUUCUUUAUAAACUCGACAAUUUUCAUACGCAUCGUUUCUAAUUUCCUCGAGUUCCUGGAUGUCCAACUUUCGAGACUUUCCUGCAGACUCCAUCUCCAUAUUACAAUGCUUAACUGCCCAAAAUGCUUUGUGCUCUAAUUCGACCGGGAGAUGACACGGUUUACCAAAAAUGAGUCGGUAAGGUGACAUGCCUAUUGGUCCCUUGUAAGUUGUCUUAUAAGCCCAAAGUGCGUCAUUAAGUCUCAAACUCCAAUCCUUUCUGUUAGGCUUAACAGUCUUUUCCAAAAUAGACUUGAUUUCUCUAUUCGACACUUCAGCUUAUCCGUUUGUUUGUGGAUGGUAAGCAGUAGCAAUUCGUUGAGUCACUCCAUAUUUCUCCAUAAGUGCACUUACGAGCUUAUUGCAAAAAUGAGUUCCCCUGUCACUGAUUAAUGCUCGUGGGAUGCCAUACCUGGAAAAGAUAGAACUUUUAAGAAAGUCAACCAUAGUCUUAGCAUUAUCAUUGCGAGUAGCCUUUGCCUCUAUCCACUUAGAAACAUAAUCAACAGCUAAGAGUAUAUAAAAAUUACCGAAAGAAGAAACAAAAGGACCCAUAAAAUUGAUGCCCGAUACAUCAAAAAUUUCACAAAUAUAAAUAAGAGUAAGGGGCAUCUCAUUGUGACGAAUAAGGUUACCAACUCUUUGGCAUUUUUCACAGGUUUUGCAAAAUAGAAAGGCAUCACGAAAUAUGUUUGGCCAAAAUAGUCCACACUCGAGAAUUUUAUGUGCGGUGCGUUUUGGUCCAAAGUGUCCUCCACAUGCAUAAGAAUGACAAAAAGUUAAGAUAGAUUGUACCCUGUUUCUGCUACACACCGUAAAAUUACGUGAUUGGAGCAAUGCUUCCAAAGGUAAGGGUCAUCCCAAAUGUAAUACCGAGCAUCCUUUUUUAUCUUAUAUUUUCUAGGCCUUGGUAAUUCUGAAGGAACAGUACCUGCAACGAGAUGAUUUACUAUGUCUGCGUACCAAGGAUGAACCACAUUUGCUGAAAAUAGAUUUUCAUCUAGGAAGUUGUCUUUCAAUGGUGUGUCGUCUACUUUAAUCGGUAAUCGGCUCCCUAAUCAGUCGAGGUUUUUGCAUACCUUUUUAUCCCGAAUUUCAAAAUCGAACUUUGUAGGAGCAGAAUCCACCUAAUCAGUCGAGGUUUUUCCUCCUUCUUCCCUAUUAAAUAUUUCAAAGCUGUAUGAUCAGAAAAGAUAUUCACUUUAGUUCCCAAUAGGUAAGAUCUAAAUUUAUCUAAAGCAAACACAACAGCUAAUAAUUCUUUCUCAAUGGUGGUGUAAUUGCUUUGGGCAGCAUCCAAAGUCCUCGAAGCAUAGUAGAUAACAUGAGGCUCUUUCCCCAUUCUUUGGCAAAGAAUAGCUCCCACACUUCGAUCACUUGCAUUACACAUGAUUUCGAACUGAAAGUUCCAAUCUGGUGGUUGCACUAUGGGAGCGGUGACCAAUUUCUGCUUCAGCACGUCAAAUGAGUCUUUACAAGUCUGGUCAAAUUCAAAUUCUUUAUCCUUUUGUAACAGCUUGCAAAGCGAUUGCGUGAUUUUCGAGAAGUCUUUCAUGAAUCGUCUGUAAAAUCCUGCAUGGCCAAGAAACGAACGAACUUCCCUCAUAGAUGUGGGGUAAGGUAAUGAGUUAAUAAUAUAUGUUUUUGCUUUAUCGACCUCAAUUCCUUCCGAGGAAACUAUAUGACCUAAAAUUAAUCCUUUUUCAACCAUGAAGUGGCAUUUCUCAUAAUUUAAAACAAGAUUAAAUUCUAGGCAUCUUUGUAAUAUCUUAGUAAGAUUAUCGAGACAUUUAUUAAAAGAGAUACCGUAUACCGUGAAGUCAUCCAUAAAGACUUCAAUGAUUUUCUCGACAUAGUCAGAGAAUAUGCUCACCAUGCAUCUCUGGAAAGUGGCCGGAGCAUUACAGAGUCCAAACGGCAUUCGUUUAUAUGCAAAUGUUCCGAAAGGGCACGUGAAAGUUGUUUGGUCUUGAUCCUCCGGAGCCAUCAAAAUUUGGAAAAAUCUUGAGUACCCAUCGAGACAACAACAAUGGGUUUUACCAGCUAAUCGUUCAAGCAUUUGAUCGAUGAAGGAAAGUGGAAAAUGGUCUUUCCGAGUAGCUACAUUUAAUUUUCUGUUUUCGAUGCAAACCCUCCAUCCAUUCUAGACUCGGGUAGGGACCAGCUCUUCUGAAGAGUUGUUCACCACUGUGACGCCAGUUUUCUUGGGCACGACAUGAACCGGGAUAACCCAAUCACUGUCGGAAAUUGGGUAUAUCAUUCCAGCAUCUAACAGUUUCUGGAUUCCCUUCUUUACUACCUCUAUCAUUGGUGGAUUAAGGCGCCUCUAAGCAUCUCUCUUUGCUUUCAUGUUAUCUUCGAUGGAAAUUCUGUGCAUACAGGUGGAUGGACUUAGCCCUUUUAUGUCGACUAUUUUCUAACCAAUAGCUUUUUUAUAAUCCUUCAGAACUCGAACUAGACUUUCCUCCUCGUCUCUGGUUAGUUUGUUUGACACUAUCACUGGUAAGGUGUCUUUCUCUCCCAAAAAGACAUACUUGAGGUGGUCCGGUAAUGCUUUAAGCUCUAAGGUUGGUGGUUACAAAACCGAAGGCAACAUUUUAGUCUGGAAAGGUAAUAGUUUAAAUUGGUUACCUCGGUUCGUCAACGAUGGUUGCGUCUCCAAGUGUUUGACAAUUUCUCGCAACGGUUCUUCUAUAAUUGCUAAUUCAUCAAGAUGAUUUAAAACAUCCAUGUCAAUACUUCUGUAAAGGACAGUUUCCAACUCAUCAUAGUCAUGACAUUUGAAAUAAGAUUGAGUUAAAAAAUCUAUACAAUUGAUACUAGAAAUAUUUAAUAGUGAGUUAUGAUGACCCAUAGCUUCGUAGACAUUGAAUUUCACAAUUUCGCCAUCAAACUCCAUUGUUAGUGUUCCGCUCUGAACGUCAAUUUUUGCGCUUGCAAAACUUAGGAAUGGCCUUCCAAGAAAAAUUUCAGAUGAAUUAGUUGAGUUAUAUUAAUAAUGUAAAAAUCUGCAGGGAAAACUAAUUCGUUAACUUUAACAAGGACGUCUUCAAACAGCCAUUCGGGAUAGACGACUGACCUGUCCGCCAACUGGAUUAUUACUCUUGUCUCUUUCAAAGGACCCGUGUUAAUCAACUUAUAAAUAUAAUAAGCCAUAACAUUAAUGGAAGCCCUUAAAUCACACAUGGCUUUCUUAAUGCCUACAUUACCAAUCUCACAGGAAAUAAAAAAACAUACAUUGGUCCUUGUAUUUGGGCGAAACUUUCUUUUGCAGUACUGCGAAGACAUUUUCUCCUACAUUUACUCUUUCCUUACCUAUUAACCUCAUCUUUCUAGUACACAACUCCUUGAAGAAUUUUGCAUAACGAGGGAUUUGUUUGAUAGCGUCGAGCAAAGGGAUAUUUACCCUCACCUUCCUGAAUAUUUCUAGGAUUUGUUUUCCUCCUUCUCUUUCUUAUCCUUUGCAAGCCUCUCUCGAAAAGGAGGUAGCAUCACGACUGGUCUCUGAAUUUCUGAUUCCGGUCUGACUUUUGGAUCAGAAAUCUACUUUUCCCAUUCCUUGUUUUGCCUAUGACUUUUUUCUGGAACUAUUUCCAAAACUUUUCUGCUACGAUGAGUUAUUGCACUUGCAUUUUGCCGAGGAUUCGACUCCGUCUGGGAAGGUAAUUUACCUUGAGAUUCCAAAUGAAUUACUAUCAUCGAGAGUUUACUAAUUUGAUUAGUUAACUCUUGUAUUGAUGCGUCUGUCCUCUAUUGGUAUUUUGCAGCAUUGAUGGCAAGCCUCUCUAUAACAGCUUUUAAAGAUAUGCUCGGCUUAGGUGGCGGCUGCGGAGGUCUUGGUUGGUACGAUGGAUUAUAUCGGGGAUUAGCUCUGUAAUUCAAGUUGGGAUGAUCCUUCCAUUAGGGAUCGUAAGUGUUGGAGAAAGGAUCAUAGUGUCUUUGAGGAGGUCCCGAAAAACCUCCGACAGCGUCGACAUGUGCCGUUGAAUUUUUGUUAAGGAUUGGGCACAAAUUCAUCGGAUGUUCAAACGUAGUACAUAUUCCACACAGUUGGGUCAGAUUCUUCUUUUCUGUAAGCAUAGAUUAAACAAUAUUAGUAAGCUUAUCCAAUUUAUCUUCUAAGGAUGAAACAGUUACUCCAUUAACCCGUCUUGUGGGUUCUGAAUUCGGCCGAUAUUGUUGAGAAUUUGCCGCCAUGGUGGAUAUCAGUUCUCUUACCCUUUGAGGAGUCAUAUUGACAAGCGUCCCUCCUCUAGUAGCAUCAAUCAUUUUCAUUUCCAUAGGGGAAAACCUUCGUAGAAAUACUGAAAAAGUGAUUGCUUAGUCAAACUGUGUUGAGGACAACUUGCACACAGUUUUUUGUACUGCUCCUAAUAGCCAUAGAGCGAUUCACUUUCCAUUUGGUGGAUUCCCACUAUGUCUCUCCUAAGUUCAGCUGCUUUCGAUGCUGGGAAAAAUCUAUCAAGAAAUACACAAGAUAAGUCAUCCUACAUUGUAAUAGAACCUGGGGGUAAGUAAAAUAACCAUUCUCUUGCUGUAUCAACUAAAGAAUAUGGAAAGGCCUGAAGUUUAAUUUCAUCUUCGAUUACUCCCAGAGGUUUCAUGCUUGAGCAGACUAUGUGGAAUUCUCUCAAGUGAGUGUGUGGAUUUUCGUUCUUCAAGCCUCAAAAAGUGGGCAAAAGGUGAAUUAGGCCUGAUUUCAACUCGAACGGGGUUUCUCCUAUUGGAUAGUUGAUACAUAACAGUGUCUGCUCGUUGGCAGCAUCGACUAGUUGACGAAUGGUUCGGUUUACCAUCCUUUUUGGUUCACUGAGGUUGUCUUCUGCUUCUUUUGUUUCGGGAAGUGGUUCGAUCUCAGGAUCAACCACCUCGACUUGUUUCCCACGUCGAAUUGCCUCUACACGAAUUACUUUUCUCAACUUUUCAACGUCGAAUUCUAAGAUCCCUUGUCCUAGCUCAACUUCUACUUUACUUGCACGUUUAAGAGCUUCUGUUUCUUUUCGUCGUGCUCGUGCUGAUUUCUUGAUCUCUGGGUCGUAUUCGAGAUUUCUGGAUGAAGAUCUGGUCAUGAAGACGAUUUAAACAAUUUGUAAGUGUUUCUAGUCCCCGAAAACGACGCCAAAACUGACGGGUGUCGAUAUCACCAAUAUGAACCUACGCCUAAUUUACAAUUUUAAGCAGUAUAGGGAGUAGGGUUGAUCCCUCAGAGACUUGGUAUACUGAAAAUUAUUUCUCUUUCUCGACCAGAUUUGUGUCUGGGCAGUUGUCGUUGCCAAAAAAUUUGGGGGGAAGAUAAAUUUGAAAACCUGGAACCUAAAAUAAACAGGGAAAAAAUGCGUGAAAAGUAAAAGCUGAAAAUAAAAUAAUAAAAAUAGUUAAAUAAAUCUGAAGAAAAAUUAAUUAAACUAAGCUCAGCUUUAGGCACGGGUUCUUCCUCGUCUUUGAACCGAUCCUCGAAAUUAGAUGAACUCCUCUUUUCCAAUAAGCUAGUUAUAGCUACCAAGGACGCCUCGGACACCAACUCUUCCUUGUGUAAAUUAGUUAUAGAACGUCCUAUAACUAACCCUUACCGAUCGAACAACCAACGAAACAUUCGUGAUUUAGAACUUCGACAACUUUGCGUUCUAGAAGAGCCUAGAUCGAACCAAUGUCCUCAAUAGUGUGGGACAUUUAAAUCUAGUUACAACUUCCCUUGAUGGAACCAAACAGCAAUCCCCACUUGGCACGCCAAUGUGUUAACGAAAAACCAAUCAGACAAUCGAUCCUUUCGGAAUUCCAACUAUACGUCUAACCACACUAACUCAAACGACAUCUUUUUAGACUUAGUGUUGAUCUGACUUUGUGAGUUGACAAAAUCAUACUCUUAAUCCGGAGAAAUAAUAAGUACUGGAAUUUAGGAGUUAAAUUGCUCGUGUUCAUAACUCACGGGUUUUGAUGGGGCUAAUUCUGACCUAAAGCUGAAAAUGGAUUUAAUUAACUAAGGUUUGGGGCAUAUUGGAGUUGGAUAAAUUAAAUAAGGUAAAAAUGGGUGAAAAGAAUGGGUGGCGUGAUUAAGUAUGGGGGCUGGAAUUUUGGUAGUGUAUUUAAAGUGGGAUGGUUAGCUACUGAAAAUGAAAAGGAAGUUUGAAAAAAAAGAAAUUGUAAAUGGUUUAAGUUGGUGACAAACUAGAAAUUAAUAAACUGAAGAAAAAGAAACUAAAAACAACAAAUAGCUUUGUGAGGAUGAAGAAGAGAUUGUAUUCAAAGAUGAAAGCUUGAUUUAUGACUUGAUGAAUAAAUGAACAAUGUGCCCACUAUUUAUACUAGUGGCUUUGAUAAAUUAAGAGCCACUAGUCAUAGAAAAUCAAGGAAAUAAAAUAUUCCAUGAUAAAAAAUCCCUAUAUAAUCUCCCACUAAGUCAACAAAAAUUUCAGCUAAUUAUAUCUUGGAAAAAAUUCUGCUUUGGCCCUCAUUCUUUGCUUCUUUCUUCAAUCUAGCCCAAUUGUUUCCUUUUUCUUCUAUUUAGCUCCAAAUUAAACCCCUGCACAAAAUUCAACAUAAACAUGGAAAAAUUAGUGGUGCACUCUCGUAAAUUAACCAAUUUAAUUACAUAAAAUAUGUAAUUUUAGCAUUUAAUCAGUAGAUUAACGUGAGGUCGGGAGAUCGGAUCAACACAUCAAGCCACACUAUCCAACUUAAUCCGGUAGCUUUUGUAAUGUAUACUUUAGUUUAUAUGACAUGCAUAGGGUUGGUUUGGAAAUGAAAUAAUUUGAAAUGCGGUUGUGAAUGAUAUAUGCUUGUAUGUAUGUAAUUAGUAGUACAUUUUGAAAAAUCAAUGAGAUGGAUUACAUAAGUUUGAGUAAAUUAGUAUUUGUGAUGUUAGGUCAUGAUUAAAACAUGAUUUUGGUUUGUGUUGAUUGAUUGUUUGGAAUGUAUUGACGUAUUAAAAUGUUGUGUAUAGGUUGAAAUCAAAAUGGGUGAGAAUAGUGGCCUUAAAAUGGCUUAUUUUAGUCCACACAGGUAGAGACACAAACGUGUGUCUCAGCCAUGUGUGAAACACAAGCGUGUGCUAGGCCUAGCACAGAAUGCCCAGGUUUUUGCACACGGCGUAGCACAUGGACGUGUGACCCUUGUACCUCAAUUUCAUUACACACGGCCUAGCACACGGAUGUGUGGCUUGGCCGUGUGACCCAAGUCAAAGAGUUACACGGGUAUGGACUCGGGUUGGGACACGACCGUAUGCCUUAUAUCAAAUGCCCACACGGCUUGAGACACAGGCGUGUCCCUUGGUCGUGUGAGUCUCACGGCCUAGCCACACGGGCAUGUGUCCCCUGCACCUAUGGAAAAUUUUAAAAUUUUACGAAAAAAUUUUUGAGUUUUUGAUUUAGUCCCGAUUUACUUUUAAUGCAUUUUUUGAGCCUCGAGGGCUCAUACAAUGGACAAUAUAAAUGUUUUAUGAGUGGUUCUUGAUAUGUAUAUUGAAUGUUAUGAAAUAUUUGUAUUUAAUCCGUAAAGUCUGGUAAUACUCUAAAACCUUGUUCUGGUGACAGAUAAGGGUUAGUGGUGUUAUAUUUAAUGGUAUCAGAGCUAUAGUUUAGCCGAUUCUCAGACUAAAUAUAGCGUGUAAAAUGUUUAGAAAUACAUGCCAUAUAAAUAUGUGAUAUUGUGAUGUGUAUGAUCCGAUCUAACCUUUUUUUCUUAUAGAUUGUAAAGAUGUCAAAAAGAUCUGAACGUGCUGAUAAUGAUGAAAUUGAUAGUAGAGCGUAGACAUUGGCACAUGGGACGAGUAGGAAUGUCUUAAUUCUUCCGGCUCAAGAACAAGAACUUAAAAAUAUGUUUUUUGGGUUAAUGAAUCAUUGGUUUAGUGAAUUUAUGCAAGAAAGAAACUUGGCUCAGCAACCUCCUCCCCUUACUGUACCACCUGUAGAGCCUCCGGUUGCAUCUUCACCUCCUCAAGUGACUGAAUCUAGUAAACGCAUUUCAAUAGAAAAACUUUAAAAAUGUGGGGUCGAAGAAUUUUAGGGUAGGUCAGAUGAUGAUCCAGUCAAAGCUGAAUAUUGGCUUCAGAAUAAAAUAAGAGUUUUAAAAAAAUGGCAUGUUCCCCCGAUGAUUAUCUGAGAUGUGAUGUGCCAAAGGAGAAAAUCUCUUGGGAAUUCUUUUAGAGUGAAUUUAGAAAUAAAUAUGUCGGCAAGAGGUAUUUAGACAAGAAAAAGAGGGAAUUUCUUGACCUGCGCUAAGGAAACAGAUCGGUAGCCGAGUAUGAGAGGGAAUUUGUAUACCUCAGUAAAUAUGCCGAAGAAAUUGUACCAACCGAAGAAGAAAUUUGUAUUAGAUUUGAAGAAAGGUUUAAUGAUGAAAUCAUAAUGAUGAUUGAGGGCACUGAAAUAUGAUAAUUUUUCAUUCUGUCAGAUCAUGCACAAAAGAUGGAAGAGGUGUACAACAGAAAAAUGUAAUGAGAUAGAUGGAAUAAAGAGUUUUACAAAAGAAGUUCCUCCAAAUCAUUUUCAGCAUUGCCGGCUAAAAAGUCUAGAGAUGAUUUCAAUCGAGCCACCUCAAUGCCUGAAUAAUCAAAUAAAAAUAAGGUGAUUCAACCUGAUUACGGGGUAUCUACUAGACCCGCUGCUAGUGUGGGUAGUGUGCAAAAUGCCCAUAAGGCUAAAUGCAAGUAUUGUGGAAAGUACCACUCUGGUCAGUGUAGGAGUAAAGUAGGGGCUUGUUAUAAGUGAAGAGCAACUGAUCAUUUCAUCUGAAAUUGUCCCCAAUUGUAAAAAGAGGAUGAAGAAAAAAAAACAAAUGGCCAUUUCUCAGAAAAGUAGACGUUUGGGCCAAAAUACUGCCACUGGAACUAUUCGUUCAGGUAUGAAAGAUUCUGCUGCUUUGUCAGAAACUAGAGCACCUGCACAUACUUAUGCUAUCCGAGCUAGAGAAGAAGCUACGACCCCAGAUGUGAUUGCUGGUACAUUCUAUCUCUUUGAUGUUACUGCAUAUGUAUUGAUUGACCCUAGGUCUACUCAUUCUUAUGUUUGCACUGCAUUAGUAACAGAAAAGAAAUUGCCUGUUGAGUCUACCGAUGAUGAUAUUCAAGUUACUAAUCCAUUAGGCCAAAGUGUAAUAGUUAAUUUAAUGUGUCGUAAUUGUCCACUGAAAGUGAAAAGCUGUGAAUUCCCUACUGAUUUAAUGUUGUUACCCUUUCGAGAAUUUGAUGUUAUUCUGGGAAUGAAUUAGUUAUUGAUGCAUGAUGCCGUAGUAAAUUUUAGACAGAAACAGAUUGAUUUGAACUGUCAGACAGGAGAAGUGAUUUCCGUUGAGUCUGAGAAUCCGAAAGAAAUUGUUAGAAUCAUUUAAGCUUUUACACCUCAGAUAUUGAUGCGAAAAGGUAAUGAGACAUUUCUAGCCUACAUUCUUGAUACUCGAGAUUCUAAAUUGAAGCUAAAACAGUUACCGAUUGUUAAUAAGUUUGAUGAUGUAUUUCCUAAAGAAUUACUAGGUUUACCACCUGAUCGUGAAGUUGAGUUUGUGAUUGAUGUGAUUCCUGGAACGAAUCUGAUAUCAAUAACACCAUAUCGUAUAGCACCAGCUGAAUUAAAAGAAUUAAAGGCACAGUUGCAAGAGUUACAAGACUGAUGGUUAUUAGAUCGAGUAUGUCUCCAUGGGUUCUACCUGUUCCAUUUGUGAAAAAAAAGAUAGUUCUUUGAGACUGUGUAUAGAUUACAGACAGUUGAACAAGGUUACAAUUAAAAAUAAAUAUCCUUUGCUACGUAUCGAUGACUUUUUUGAUCAACUGAAAUGUUCAAUUUGUUUGGUCCGAUGAGUGUUAGCAGAGCUUUGAUCAGUUGAAGAAAAUGUUGAUAGAAGCUCCAAUCUUGGCUCAACCAAAAUCGGGUGUACCGUAUAUUGUUUACAGUGAUGUUGUCUCUAAAUGGUUUGGAUUGUGUACUAAUGCAGUUAGGAAAGGUUGUGGCCUAUGCUUCUCGAAAAUUAAAGUCGCACGAGAAGAAUUAUCCUAUACAUGAUCUUGAUUUGGCUGUAAUCGCAUUCGCUUUGAAGAUUUAGAAAUAUUAUUUAUACGGUGAGAAAUGUUACGUGUUUAAGGAUCAUAAAAGUUUGAAGUAUUUGAUGAAUUAGAAAGAGUUGAAUUUGAGAUAGAGAUGGUGAUUAGAAUUGCUAAAAGAUUAUGAUCUGGUUAUUGACUACCACCCAGGAAAGGUAAUGUGGUUGCGGAUGCACUUAGUCAGAAGUCGUCAUUGGUUGCACUUCGAGCGUUGAACGCUCAUUUAUCUCUUAAUAAAGCUGGUUCUGUAUUAGCAGAAUUGAGAACGAAACCUCUGUUUCUUCAACGAAUUCGAGAAUUGAAAGAUGAUGAUCCGAAAUUGGUGUUGAAAAGACAAAUGGUUUAGGAAAAUCUGAGUUCAGAGUAUAGCAUCGAUGAUAGUGGUAUGUUACGUUAUCAUAAUAGAAUUUGUAUUCCUAAUAAUUCAGAUUUGAAGAAUGAUAUUCUUUUUGAAGGUAGUAUGUACUCCAUUGAUCCAGGUAGUACGAAGAUGUAUAGUGAUUUGAAACGGAUGUAUUGGUGGCCAAGUACAAAACGGGAAAUUUGUGAAUUCGUAGCUAAGUGUUUGAUUUGUUAGCAAGUGAAAGUAGAACAUCAGGUACCAACGAGUUUAUUACAACCAGUCAUGAUUCUUGAAUGGAAGUAGGAACAUAUCACAAUGGAUUUUUUAUCUGGUCCACCUGUGACUCUGAGAAAGAAAUAUUCCAUGUGGGUGAUUGUUGAUAGGUCGACUAAGUCGGCAUAUUUUAUCCCAGUCAGAACAGACUUUUCACUUGAGAAGUUAGCGAAAUUGUAUAUAUCAUAGAUUGUGUGGUUACAUAGGGUUCCAACAUCUAUCAUUUCAGAUCAAGAUCUGAGAUUUACAUCGAGAUUUUAGAGUAAACUACAAGAAGCUCUGAGCACCAAGUUAAAUUUCAGCACAGCGUUUCAUCCUCAAACCGACGGGCAAUCAGAACGAGUGAUUCAGAUUCUAGAAGAUAUGCUGAGAUGUUGUAUACUCUAAUUUAGAGGUAGCUAGGAAAGAUAUUUACCGUUGGCUGAAUUUGCAUAUAACUACAGUUAUCAAUCCAGAAUAAAGAUGACACCGUUCGAAGCUCUUUAUGGGAGGAAAUGUAAGACGUCAUUGUAUUGGUCUGAAUUGAGUGAAUCCAAACUAGUAGGAGUUGAUUUGAUCCUAGAAACUGAAGAUAAAGUUCAGAUUAUCCAGGACAUUUUGAAAGUUGCUUCUGACUGUCAAAAAUCGUAUGCAGAUUUGAAAAGAUGAGAUAUAGAAUUUGCGGUUGGUGAUUGGGUAUUCUUAAAAGCUUCUCCAUCGAAGAAGGUGUUACGAUUCGGUAGGAAAGGAAAUCUGAGCCCAAGAUUUAUCGGGCCAUAUGAAAUUAUUGAAAGAAUCGGCCUUGUGGCUUAUCAAUUAGCUCUACCUCCGAAACUUGAGAAAUUUCAUAAUGUGUUUAAUGUAUCGAUGCUGAGACGGUACAGAUCUGAUCCUUCACACAUGAUUCAUCAUAGUGAGAUUGAGCUGCAACUAGAUAUGACGUAUUUGGAAAAACCAAUGAAAAUUUUGGCGCGAUAGGUUAUAGACUUGCGAAAUAAACGAGUACCAUUAGCAAAAGUAUUGUGACAUCGUCAUGGUUCGGAGGAGGCUACUUGAGAAAUAGAAGAAUUUAUGAGAUCACAAUAUCCGAACCUAUUACCAGGUAAGAAAUUUCGAGGACGAAAUUUCCUAAAAGGGGAGAGUUGUAACGGCCUGAUUUCAGUGGUGUUGGAAACAAUGGUUUGAGACCACUAAAUCUGACGAGUAGCUCGUAAAUUUUAUUAUUUAGUAUUUACGAGUCAAAUGUGAUUUUAAAAAGAUUUUGAAUUAGUAAUUUGUGUUUUAUAAGGAUUUAUUAGGUUAAAUGGUUUAGAAAAUGAGGUAUCGAGACCUCGAUUUUAUAAACUAAGUCGUAAAUAUUUUUACAAAUAUUUACGGAGAGUCAUUAAGGUAGUAUUAAAGUUUCGUUAGAAAAUUUUAACGUUUUGAUAGUUAAUUAAUUAAAAAGGACUAUAUUGAAAAAGGUGCAAAACUUGCUAAUUAGAAAUUAUGAUUAAGUAGUUUAAAUAGUAAAUAAAAGAGGACUAAAAGGGCAAUUAGACAUACAUGAAAUGGCUGGGCAGCAUGAGUGUAGAAAAUAAAUAAUGAAAUAAUGUGAACUAAGGGUAAAAUUGUAAAUUUUGUAAAAUUAAACAAAUAAAAUAGCAAUUAAAGGAUUUUCUAGACAUUUCUUCAUCAAUAUUCUGCCAAAAACAGCCAUAGGAGAGCUCCUAAAGUUGGUUUUUCAUAGUUACUUCAAAUGAGUUCAAUUCUUAUUUAUUUCUUGUAAUUUUUUAUGUUUUUAAGACUUUUACAAUUAGGUCCAACUAUCUAUUUCAAUAGUUUUUUAUUUUAUUGGAAAUUUUGGAAGUUACCAUUGAUGAAUAUAGGAUGUAUUAGGUGAAUAAACAUAGAUUUAGAGCUUUAAUUUUGUUGUAUGAUAAUUUUAUAAAGUGAUUUUGAUAGUCUAGAAUAUUAGGGUUUGGUAUUGAAAUUCUGAAUAUCAAGAGCUGUAUAAUAGUCUAGAAUAUUUAGGUAAGUUAUCAAUUGAGAAAAAUUAGCUCAUUUGAUAGACAAAUUAGUAAGGGACUAAAUUGCAAAAAUUAUAAAAGUUAGGGUAAUUGUGUAAAUCUAAAAAUUAAAGGGUAUUAAUUAUGAAGUGAAUUGGAACUUAAAUAUAUACUAAUGAAUGAAUACUUUAUAUUUUAGAUCAAGAAGCCGUAGAUACUCGUGAAAAAGAGAAAUUAGCAGAAUAGUCCCUAAACUUCUACAAAUCAUACAAUUUAACCCAGGUAAGUUCGUAUGGUUAAAGUUUAAUAAUUAUAUUGAAUUGAUGUAUGAUAUUAUGUAUUUAGUAUAUUAUUGAAAAAUGGAAUAUUAUUAAAUUAUGAAUUUGAAUUGAAUAUCUAAUUUAAAAGGAACGCGGGAUUGAGUACAAUUGUUGUAUGGCGAUCAGCAAAGGAAGAAUUGAUGGUAAAUCACCCAAGUAAAUCAAGGUUCAAAAUUUGUUGUGAACUUUCAUGUUUACUUUCUGUUUAGCUCUCACGAGAUUCUGUUUAACUCAUAUGAGUUUCUGUUCAACUCUAAUUAGUUUCCGUUCAGGUUUUUUGAGCUUUUGUUUAACCCUUAUGGGUUUCCGUUCAGUUCUAAUGAGCUUUCGUUCAACCCUUACGGGUUUCUAUUUAGCACUUAUGUGCUUCUGUUUAGUCUUCGGGCUUCUGAAAAUGAUAUACUCAUAUCCGUAAGUUAUUCUUCAAUUCGGUAAGAUUUGGUAAAGGACUUAUGUGAUUGAAAUUGAAAGAUUUAUCGUUUAUUAUUGAUAUUGAUUUGAAAGAAGUGUGUUCAUCAAUUUAUGUUGUGUAUGACAGGGAGAGUGCAUGAUUAAUUUACUAUUUAAUUUAUUAUAUUAAGUUUGGUAAGAUUUAUAUUUAAAGCUUACUUGUGUUGUUUAAUGUUCUUGUAGAUUAACGUGAGGUCGGGAGAUCAAAUCAACACAUCAAGCCACACUAUCCAACUUAAUCCGGUAGCUUUUGUAAUGUAUACUUUGGUUUAUAUGGAAUGAAUAGGGUUGGUUUGGAAAUGAAAUAAUUUGAAAUGUGGUUGUGAAUGAUAUAUGCUUGUAUGUAUGUAAUUAGUAGUAUAUUUUAAAAAAUCAAUGAGAUGGAUUAAACAGGUAAGUUUGAGUAAAUGAGUAUUUGUGAUAUUAUGUCAUGCUUAAAACAUGAUUUUGGUUUGUGUUGAUUGAUUGUUUGAGAUGUAUUGAUGUAUUAAAAUGUUCUUUAUAGGUUGAAAUCAAAAUUGGUGAGAAAAAUAGCUUUAAAAUGACUUAUUUUCGUCCACGCGGGUAGAGACACGGGUGUGUGGACUGGCCAUGUGUCCCCUGCAUCUUUAAAAUUGAGAAACCAUAUGCCCAGGUUUUUGCACACGGCCUAGCACCCGGGCGUGUGGCUUAGUCGUGUGACCCCUGUACCUUAAUUUUAUUACACACGUCCUAGCAUAUGGGCGUGUGGCUUGGCUGUGUGACCCAAGUCAGAGAGUUACAAGGGUAUGGACACGGGCUGGGACAUUAUCGUGUGCCUCAUAUUGAAUGCCCACACAACCUAAGAUACGGGCGUCCCCUGCACCUAAGGAAAUUUUUGAAAUUUUGGAAAAAAUUCUCUGAGUUUUCAAUUUAGUCCCGAUUUACUUUCAAUGCGUAUUUUGAGCCUCGAGGGCUCAUACAAUAGACAAUAUCAGUGUUUUAUGAUUGGUUCCUGAUAUGUAUAUUAAAUGUUAUGAAAUGUUCGUAUUUAAUCCGUAAAGUCCGGUAAUACUUCGAAACCUUGUUCCGGUGAUGGAUAAGGGUUAAGGGUGUUACAUGGAGAAGGGAGGAAAACAGAGGGAGAAGUAGAAGAGAAUGAAAAAUAAAGAAAAAAAUGAAAGUUAAACGAACAAAAAAGAAAAAAUUAAAUUGCUCAAAACAAAAAAAUAUGGGGACCAGUUGUAUAAAUUAACGUAAAAUUUUUGUUUGAAAUGAUGAUUUAACGUGCUACGUCAGCUUACCAUUACACCGUUAACAGAAAUUAACAGCUCAAUGACUAAAAUGUUACAUCGCGAUAACGUACCAUUUGAAACAUAAGUGACUAAAAUGGAACCUGAGGUAAACAAAAAUGACUAUUUUGGUAGUUUAUCCAUAAAAGAAUGAUUAAUUUUGUCCUAACAAUUUCUUUUUACUUUGGCUUAAUGACAAAUUUGGCCACUAAUGUUUGCAUGUUUUGUCAAAAUGGCCGUAAUUGUAUUUUUGAGUCUACUUUGGCCAUCAACCUUUGAUUUUUUUUUUCAAACUGCAUUUUCUAACAGAUUUAAUGAAUAAAUUCAUUGUUUCAAUCUUUCUUUUCUUUCAAAAAGUUUCAAUUUUUCAGAUGUUUGUUUAUUGAGAAGUUUUUCUACUAAGUUAUUUUUUUAGAUUACGUUUAUUUUUUUAAAUUAAGAGUUAAUUUUUAACUUAAUGUAUUAUUUAUUUAUUUUAUUAUUUUCCACAUGCAAUUAUCUUAUUGGGCUAUCUAAGUAAUGAAUUACAUCUCAUUAAAAAUAUUCCACACAUAAAAUUUCACACAAUUCCCGUUAACUUUUUUUAACGGUACUUUCAUUAAAAUUGUUAGAAAAAGCAAAUUGAAAAAAAGAACAAAGGUUGAUGCCUAGAAAAGGCUCAAAAAUACAAUUAGAGCCAUUUUGACAAAACAUGCAAACGUUAAUGGCCAAAUUUGUUAUUAAGCCUUUUACUUUCUAUUUACAUGGAAAAGUAACUUUUUUGCCAGUUAUCAAGUGAAUCACUUUCCAUUGCUUGUGGUAAAGUAACUCCCAUGAGAAUGUUACAUUCCUAAGGAAAGUAAAUUAAUUUUUUCAUAUCAAAUAUUAGAAUCACAUUCCAACCAAUUAAAUUCCUUGAAAAAUAAUAUCUAUCCAAAAACACUCCUAAUCCUAAUGUGGAAAUUUUUAUUUUAAUUGACUUAUCAAUAAGUAUGGAGCCAUCAAUCUCAACACCAAAACUGAUAUUGCACCUGAGACUAGAGUUUAUCAUCCUAUUUCAAUUUUCUGUUACUUUACAUAAUGUUUUCUCUUAUUUAUAUUUAUUUCUUUAUUUUCAAAAUAAUUAACCCCCUUUAUUUAUUGAGUUAUGCCCAGGACUAGAGGCGUUCAUGGGUCGGGCUGGACUCAGAAAAAAAUUUAGGCCCACUUUCUAGGCUCGGGUCUAGCCCGGCUUGAAAUAUGGGCCUGGAAAUUUGUUCAAGCCCGGCCCGAAAAAAAUUCCUAGGCCCAGCCCAACUCAACCCGGCCCGUUUUUGACAUGAUUUAAAAUUUAAAACUUAAUUCUAGUAAUCCUUUGCGUUUAAACAAUUGAGAUUAAACAAUUUAAAACUUAACAAUACCUAAUAAACCUAAACUUAAAAAUUGAGUUUAAACAAGUUAAAACUUAAAAAUUCCUAAUAAACCUAAACAUAAAAAUUGAGUUUAAACAAUUUAAAACAAUUCAGUUUAAACAAUUUAAAACUUAAAAAUUCCUAAUAAAUUAGAGUGUGAAAACGCAAACAAAAAAGGAAUAAGAAUUGAAUGGAACAAAAACAUUUAUUAUAUUUCAAAUUUAUAUAUAAACGUAGAAAGCAUAAUAUUGUAUAUAUAAACCUAAACUAGAAAACAUCUUUUGCGUUUAAACAAUUGAGAUAGUCAUACUUAUUCUAUAAGCUAAAUUACAUAUGUACCAAAAAAGAAAUUAAUGAAAUUCAAACUGCAUAAAUCCAAUCCAAAUUCAUAAAUAGAAGCAUCUCCAUUUCUCAAUCUCAUUAUUUUCCUACUAGUAGAUAAACAAUUUUAGCAUAACAUUACCAUAAUUUAAUCAAAAUUUAAGUUUUUCUUUCCCCCUAAUAUUUUGGAAGUUCACUUUUUUUUCAGAGGAAUCAGUAAUCAUAACAAUGUUUUGAGAUAAGGACACAAACUAUCAUCUAGAAAAUCUGCUAAUCCUGCAUUUAAUUGCAAAAUGUUGUACAAAGUAAAAUAAAAGAAAAUCAAAUUAAAUUAAAUUAAAUUAAAUUAAAUUAAAUUAAAUUCUAAAAAGAAAAUGUAAAUGAAAGCUUAUGGGAAAUGAAGCUAAGGUAAGCCAAAUCGAUUUCAAUGUCACUUGUUUCUGCAAUAAAACAAAGCAAAAACAAAAAACAAAAAAAGAUGAGAUUAAAUGAAGAAACUAAGCUUGUGAUCUCAGCCCUGCAAAUUACAUGCUCUAUAAAACAUAAACCAAUUCUCAUCCAAUAAUAAUUGAAUAACACAAUUUUGCUCUUAAUUGUGCUCAGCUACCCUUAAUCCUAUAGCCUCGUAUUCAAAUACAAAACUCACCUCAGGGCAGAGCAAUUUUACAGUAAAGAUAUACAUACAUACAUACAAGUUGCUUUCUAAAAAUGAAAAAACAAGUUUCCCCGGAACAUAAUGAGUCUUAAUAGGUGUUUCCAGAUUCUAAAAAGAGAAUAGAUACUUCUGCAAAGGAUCAAAGAGAGAAAAGGAAUAAUAAUUAUUUAAGGAAUAAAAAAAGGUUAAGCCUAUGGUUUAUUUAUUUAUUUUUGCCUAACCUCAAGUAUUAAUGGAACUAUUUGAUUAGGACUUUGAGCUUGCCUGACAUGUUCUCCAGCUAUAAUAUUGAGAAUUUAGUACUGUUGUUUGGAUAAAACCUUUAAGCAUAAUUUCAUCAUACAUAUAAAUUAUUUAUUUUUCUAUCAUGUUUUUUCACAUUAGAAUGUAAACAUAAUUAAGAAAAAAAAAAUCAUUUUAAGAUGAACAUUUCAAAUGGAAGAAAAUCAAAAUCAGUUCAUCAAUCCAAAAAUACCAAUAUAUCAAAAAUACCAACUUGUAUAUUCCAGAUUUAAUCCCCCUCGGGCGAAGAUUCAGUGUCUUAAAAUUAAAAUCAGAAAACCACCAUAUAUCAUAUUAUCAAAAUACCAAUCCUUCCCUAGCUAUUAGCAAAACAUCCCAAACCCUAACCCUAACCAGUAACCACCCAAAAAAAUUAUUCCUUUAUCAAGAUAAAGGAUCCAAACAACAUCAGUUUAUGAAUUACAGGCAGAAAAUCAAAGCACCCUAUUGGUCAUAUAACAGAGAUCAAUCAGUUUAUCAAUCCAAAAAUAAAAAAGCAAAAAGCAAAAAACAUGAAAAAUAAUUUAACUAAUUAACAUGCGGAAAAGGUGAGGAAUUGAGGAUUUACAAAUACAGAGGGGAAAUAAUUCGAGAACUAACCUAUUUAAUAGAAUAUGAAAUUACAGUGUAUUGACAGCCUCUAACCUCUGAUUCUAACACUGUUGUUUGAACUUUGAUGAGUUGAUUCUGGAAUUGGGUGGAGGACCGGAGGUGGAUCGGUGGAUUGAUUUUGGAAUUGGGAAAAAAAAGGGAGGAGGGCGCGGGCUUAGGGAUUUUGGAUCGGUGGAAGUCUAGAAAAGUGGAACUGUGGAAGUGACUUUUGUUUUAAAUGUAGUGUAUUUUAAAAAUAAAAAAAUAUAUAUAUAUUUAUUAUAUUUCGGGUCGGGUCGGGCCGGGCCCAGGCCAAAAAAAUUUUACCUGAGGAAAACGGGCCUCUUUUUUGCCAAAACCCAUAUUUUGGGCCUAUAUUUUUACCCGAACCCUCCUAUAUUUUGGGCGGGCCGUCGGGUCGGGCCAGACCGCCCAACCCAUGAUCUCCUCUACCUAGGACUAAUAUUUGUCGCAAUAGAAUUUGAUUCUUAUCCAGGACUUGACUCUAUUCCUUUAUUGUAAUUUUAUUUUUCUAGAUGUAGGAAAUUAAAUUUAGUGGAUACUAUUCAAUAUAAUUUUUUCUCCAAAAAGAAAAAACAAUAUAGGAGAAAUAAUUUUUAUACCUUCUUAUCUUUUUUUUUAUUCCAAAAAGUUAUUUUCUUUUAAGUCCACUUACAAAUAUCUACAAGAAGUUCUCUAAUGUUUAAUCCUGUAGAGCUGGCCCAGUAAAUGCGUCUUUCGGCUUAACAAACAAGCCCCCAAAUCUGUCAUCUAUGUGAGUUAUGAUAGCAUGGUCAACAUUGAUAAGCAAGAACUAAUUGGGACGGCUUGGGGACUGGCCAACAGUAAACAACUGUUUCUGUGGAUGAUUAGGCCUGGUAUGGUUCGUGGCUCGGAAUGGAUUAAAUCAUUGCCAAAUGGGUUCCAAGAGAGUGUAAGAGAAAUAGGUUGCGUCGUGAAAUGGACACCUCAAAAGGAAGUGUUGGCUCAUGCUGCAGUGGGUGG